AAAUUUUCGGAAAGUGAUUUCCAUAGAAUUGAUUUUGUAUUAGAGUAGUGAUUUUGGUUAAAAGUUGUAGAACGUUUGGCAGAGUUUAGAUAAAAGUGAUUUUUCUAAAGUAAUUUUGUAAAACUGUUUGGCGAAAAAAUUUUGAUGUUUGUAUAUAGUAACAUUUUUUACUAAAUUUUGUUUUAAAAUAAUUUAAAGUUUGAAUUAAAUUUAAAACUUAUACAAAAUUUAAAAUUUGAUAUUUUAAUUUAAAAAAUAAAUUUGAAAUUUGAAAAUUUAAAAUUUAUAAAUUGAACUUUUAAAGCUAAAUGCACAUUUUCAAUUUCAAAUUUACAAUCCAAAUUUAAAAUUUGACAUAUGAAAUUUAAAAUUUAAAAAUUUUAAUUUGAAAUUUAAUUUAAAAUUUAAAAUUUAAAAUUUAAAUUUAAAAAUUAAAAAUUUGAAAUAUAAAAUUAAAAAUAGAGCAGGAUUCGUCUUAAUUCACUAAAAAUUCGCUUCCAUUUGGACUUCUUUUGACUGAACAGUUCAGCCGGGAUAAAAAAUAUAGAGUUAAUUGUAUAUAGGUCGAUCACUAUAAAUAUAGUGAAUUGCAAAUAUAUUUCUAUAAAGUUCAACUUUCAUAUAUUGUUAUAACAAAAGUCCUAAUAAUUUUAAAUAUGUCUCUAUUGUUAGAAUCCGUUAAAAAAAUUUAGUUAAUCAUGGGUUAAAUACUUAACUCUGAUUAGUUUAUAAGAUAACUUGAUAUUUUUACUCCUCUUAUAUUAUACCUUCUUCGCUCAAUCAAAAAUUCUAGCAAUGAGAACUCUUCUUCUUCCUCUUUCUCUUUCUCUCUCUCCUUCUGUCACGCCCCCGUCCCGAGACCGCUACCGAUUUUGCACGGUUCGGACGCGGCGAACGGACGCCGAACGGACGGAGUUUUCCCUGUCCGCCCAAGGCUAAGCAACAGAUCGUGUACAACAAGUCCCCAGAAAAACAACUUGCAUUCAUACACAAUCAACAACGAAACGAGAGUACAAACAGUGCUACAACCAACUAGAGCAAGCGAUACAAGUAAAAUCAUACAAGUAUACAAAAAAGAGAAACUUAACUAUUUGAACAUAAUUGAAACAUUUAACCCUCUUUCGAUAUCAUUUAAAGUUCAACCAUUUAAUACAACUUGCAUUCUUUUUCAACAUGUAAAUACAUCAUAUGCUCUCCAAAACCUCACCCUAUACAUCAUCUACUCUCAAAGCAUAACCAAAAGUACAGGGUAUAGAGCUAAUGCAAGUAGGAAAGGUAAAGCUAUCAACCGAUACUGCUAGGGCGCUAAGCCCUUGCCGCGAUCCUCCCGCUCGGUCGGGACACUCGAACUAGCACCUGCAACAAUGGGUGUGAGAACUACGAAUAGUUCCCAGUGGGUUCGGCCGCCGACUCCGCCGAUCUACCCACUAGGUCUUAAGCAGACAUAGAGAGAUAUAUAUAUGCAAUAUAUAUAAAACUAAGCUGAACUGGAAGCAGGUAUGUAAAACAACUAUAUCAAACUAUGCCUCAAUCUGAAAUCAUGAAUGCAUGAACAAUAAAUAGUAGGGUAAGCAACUACUAUAAACAUCUACAACAGCUAUCAUAGUAAGCUAUAAGACAUGCUACUAGGGAAAGCAAAUAAGCUGAUAUGAACAAUGAAUAGCUACUAUGAACAUCAAUCAUGGGUAAGACUCACUGGGUAAUCCAAUCUCCAAGUGAACGCAAGGUUCAUAAGCAAGGCUCACAAAUCAACCUCCGAGGGAUGCCUAGCUGGACUAUCCCCGAGUACGCCUGCGGAUAACAAUCGGCUAUCCGAGCAGCAAGCAGGGCUGCCUCUCUAGUGACCAAACUCCGGAGCGCACAACUUGAGGGGAGCGACCCCACCAAGCGCAGACAGGCAAUGUGAGCAUGAUCAACUCACGAGCAACAACAACCCUUUGAGGGUAAUCUUAGCAUAGAUCAACAAUUCUUGUACCCAAGCUCAUAGUGUCUCGAUUACACUAAUAUGAUCAUCUCAAGUAAACAUCAAAUAUGUGCCACUUGUCAUAGUUUUCUAACUAGAUGCCACUUGUCAUAGUUUUCUAACUAGAUGCCACUUGUCAUAGUUUUCUAACUAGAUGCCACUCGUCAAUUUUGACUCAUUAUCAACACUAGUUUCAUCAUACUAGUUCUUUAGCAACAUAAGCAUUAAUUAUCUCAUAUAGGGUCUAGGUUCUCAACAUAUAGUUUUCAUCAUAUAAUCAUCAUGCAUACUAGAUCAUAAACCAACCAAGCAAGAUAUAUUUAUUGAACUACUAGCAUGCAAGUAUAAGCAACAAUAAUCAUUUUCUAACCCUAUAUGUUUAUGCACAAUAUGCAAAUAGAUCAAAUUAAACUUAGACAUAGAAGGUGGCCCGAUGACUUCGGGAUGGCACUCCCCCACCUUAGGUGAUGCCGAAAAUACUCCGAGACGCGAUCUCGAGCUAGUCUUGUCGCCGCUUAAUUCUCGUUGGGUUAGCUUUAACCCUUUAGCACUUCAAAUGGCAAUAUCUUCGCACUCGAUUCUCAUAUCGAUGAACCGUCUUCGCCUACGCGUUUAUAAGCAUAAGAAUUAGGUUUCUAACCCCUCAAAGGAGAUCAAAUCCUAAUAUUUGCAAAAUUCCCAAAAUCAAGCCCUAGAUUUAGAACCCAUGAGAAGCAAUGGCUUCUAACUUCAUUGUGAGCUAAAUUCAUGUUCUCUAAGCUCAUUAGGUUCCAUUUGAACCAUUAAAACCAACAAAAACCCCUAAACCCUGGAAAUCCAAAAACUAGGGUUAGAGCUUACCUUAGGUUUUGCUCCAAAGAAGGCCCAAGCUUGAUGGAGAGGAGAGAAAGGAGCUUUAUCUUCUUCUCCUUGAUCUUCUCUUCCUUUCCCUCCUUCUCUUUUCUUCUUCUCUUCUCUUUUCUUCUUCUCUUCUCUUUUCUUCUUCAACCGGUUAGAGAGAGAGAGGGGGCUAGAGAGAGAGAGGCUGUGAGAGUGAGAGAGAAGAGAGCUGAGAGUGAGAGGAAUAAGUCCUCUAUUGUAACAAUAUGCUAAAAAGCCCUCAUUUUAUCAGAUUUUGCAACUUAACCCGCUGCUGCCGCGCCCUUGUACCGGUACACGGGGUCUUGUACCGGUACAAGCCCUGCGUAACAGCGAAACAGAGAGCAAACCCGAGGCUCGGGUUGCUCGGUCGCGCGGGUUUUGUACCGGUACAAGGCCCUUGUACCGGUACAGCCAUCAGGCACUGUUCCGCGAUGGUUGUACCGGUACAGCAUCAACCUUGUACCGGUACAACAGUGCCAGAAUGCUGUUUUUUUUCGAUCUGUUUCGAUUUCGUUUCACGUCCAACAACGCUAAAACUAUUCCAACACUUUUGGAACUCAUUUUUACUCUUCCAAACAUGUUGAAAUACCGAAUGGAACUUGUCCAAACAUUCGAUUGCUCACUUUGGUCCAUUGUGCCAAAGUUAGCCGUUUUCGUCGAAUUUUCGAUACCUUACACCUUCAUACACGACUAAAGUUUCUUUGUCUCCAUUCAUCCACGAUGCGUGUUGCUUCGCCCAUAUCAAAUACGCAUUGUUUGUCCAUUCAAUUUUCUCUAUGAUUUUUUUCUUUUUUUGCUCAAAAAAAAAAAAAGGUCUAUAAAAAAAUGAGUGAGAAAAGAGAUUGCAACUAUCGUGGAAUUGAUUGGAUUUUAAAAAGAAAAAAGAUGAGAAAUGAAGAAGGAGAUGAUGACCAUUAAAAAUUUUUUCGAUGAUAUUUCUACAUGAUUAUAAUUGUUAUGGCUUUUGAUCGAAUGGACAUAUUUAUAAUAACAAAAUUGAUAUUUCACUUAUUUGCUGUUAAAAUAUAAAUAAUUUUUUAAUAGUAAGAGGGACAUAUUUAAAAAUAUUAGAACUUUUAUAUAAACAAUAUAUAAAAAUUAAAUUUUAUAGGAAUAUAUUUAUAAUUUAUUAUAUUUAUAGAGAUAUGCAUAUAUAUUAACCCAAAAAUAUAAUGAAAGUCAAUGUGCACUCCAAUCUGUCAAGAAAAUAAGGUCGGAGGUGGAAGACCCCUUCCGUUCCGAAUCUGUCUCGUUUAUAUCCUUAUGCGUAGCCGUGGGUUACAAUAUGAAUUCUAAAGGAUUGGAUAAUGUACUAGACACUCUGUUUUUCGUCAACAUACAUUUAAUGUUCUUUAAAUCAUAUAUCUUUUAUUUUUCUUUCACUUACUUUUUCAAGGAAUCGCACUUUUUGAAAAUUUGUAAAAAUAUAGGUGCAUCGAUGUACCGAAGUUUGACAAUAAGCAUUGUUGGCUAAAUUUAAGUUUCAAAUUUUGGCUCUGAUACUGUAUGAAAUGAUCGUAAGCUCGAGAACUCUAAAUAUAAUGAUCUAAAUCUAAACUAGUGAUCCAAAAUAUGUUUAAUCCGAGUUAUUACAACUAAUAUGUUUAGUCCUUAUAUAUUCAAUCACCAUGCAGGGCUCCCAUCAUAUCCACCUUGUAAUAUUUUGUCCCAUAAUUUUUGAGUGGUAAUUUUUUUGAUACUAAAUAUAAAGACCCAAACCACUUAGGGCAUGUUUGGUUCACCUAUUUUAGACUAUGGAAUCAGAAUGGAAUUAAUUGAUUCCGAUAGUUGUUGUUUGUUUUAUAGGAAUUGGAUUCCGAUUCCUAUUCCACUCCGGAAUGGGAAUGGCCAAAUCUAUUUAUGAUCCAAUCCGGCUUUAAAUCCCGAAUUGGCUCAUUCCAAAGCAAACUAUUCAAAAUUCUCUUUUACCAACACCCACCUCCUCUUCCUUCGUCACUCUCCUCUAUCUUAAAUCAAAAUCCUGUCUCAACAAUUUUAAAUUUUCAUUUCGAUUUCCAUUCUAAUAAUGAACUAAACAUUUUUGAAUGAUUCGUCAUUCCAUUUUCUAUUCCAAAACAAUCCAAUUCAAUUUCUCAUUCCCAUUCCAAACAUGAACCAAACAUGCCCUUAUAGUUGUUGAUUUGUUUUGGCCCGAGUUCUCUUGGUUCAAAACGUUUAAAUGCAAUUAUUAGUAUAUUGAUAUAAUAAUAGAAAAUUGUCCGAACAUAUUAGAUUAUAUUGAAAACUUAAACCAUUUAGAAUUAUGGCAACAUUUGAAAGUUUAAACCAUUUUGAAUUGAGAGCUAGAUCGGUAUGAGUUUGAUAGUAAUACUUAGAUAUAUCUCAAAUUGAACUCAACAAUUUAUAGUAAUUGUAGUACAUCUAAAUGACUACGGGCCCGUUUGGCUUAGAUUCUCAAAAAGUGAUUUCUAUAAAAUUAAUUUUGCAUUGGAGAUGUGAUUUAGUUAAAAACUGCAGAAUUAAUGUUUGGCAGAGCUUAGAUAAAAGUGGUUUUUCUAAAGUAAUUUUGUAAAACUGUUUGGUGAAAAAAUUUUGAUGUUUGUAUAUAAUAACAUUUUUUACUAAAUUUUAUUUUAAAAUAAUUUAAAAUUUGAAUUAAAUUUAAAAUUUGUACAAAAUUUAAAAUUUGAUAUUUUAAUUUAAAAAAUAAAUUUGAAAUUUAAAAAUUUAAAAUUUAUAAAUUGAUCUUUUAAAGCUAAAUGCAAAUUUUCAAUUUCAAAUUUAAAAUCUAAAUUAAAGUUUGACAUAUGAAAUUUAAAAUUUAAAAAUUUUAUAUUUUAUACUUUUAUUUUAAAAAAUUUUAAAUUUAAAACUAUAAUAUUUAAAAUUUUUUAAAAAAUAUAAAUUUUAAAAUUAAGAUUUAAAAUUUGAAAUUAAAAAAAUUNNNNNAUAUAAUUUAAAUUUUAAAUUCUAAAAUAUGAAAAUUUAAAUUUUACCUUAAAUUUGAAAUUUGAAAUUUAAAAUUUAAAAUUUUAGAUUUAAAAUUUAAAAUUUAAAAUUUAAAGUAUAAAUUUUAAAUUUUAAAAGUUGAAAUUUACGAAUUCAAAAAUAAAUUUAAAAAUAAAAAUUAAAUUUAAAUUUAAAUUUAACCCUUGAAUUGAAAAUUAAAAUAAAAAUUUGAAGUUUGAGUCUUAACUCAUAAUGAGAUUUCAAGAAACAGGUUUUGGCUGCUUUUGAUUUUGGACCUCGAAAAUCAAAAAAUAAUUCUAAAAUUCAGAAUCAAAUUUUUUAAAAAAGGCUGCCAAACGCUUUAUUGAAUCGAAAAUCAUUUUUGAGCUCAAAAACAAUUUUCAAAAGCUAAGCCAAACACCCCUAAUAUUAAUAAGUAGGGUAGUUUUCUCAGCAUUUUAAGAAUUCACAAGAAUCAUCAUCAUAUACAACAAGCUCUACAUUUUUAUAAUUAACCAACAAGCUAGUUUUCAAUUACAUCUUUUUCUUUUUGUUUUUUUGCUUUGUCUUUUUCUUGAGGAAGUAGCCUUUGUUUUCUCUCUUCUCUUUUAUAAGGUAGAGAGAGAGUGGGACUACUUUUGGGUCCACCUAUCCAUAUUGCUAAAGUAUGUAUAUAUAUUAUAUAUCUAUAAACAUAUAUAAGAUUGUAUUUUAUUGCAUUUAUGCUCAACUUUUAAUGCACCUGUCUAUAAUCUAUAAAUAAUAUAAGUAAAGCUAGAGAAAAGCAACAAUAUUCUCUCCAAACUUUUGCCAUGCGGAUAAUUUGUCUAAGUAUAUUAUACUGUAACAUGGCAGCUUUGUUAAUUAUCAUUAAAUUAUUAUUAUUAUAUGUAUAUAUAUUUUUUAAUGUGGCUAAGGCAUUUGGUUCUUCUGGGAAUUAACUAAUAAGAUAGCAUCUAAUGCAAAAAUAAUUAAUUUUUAUGAGACCCCAAUUCUAUAUAUAAUAAAAUAUAGUAGGACUAAAGCUCUUCACCCGGCUAUAGCAUCUUAGGUGGUAGGUAGAUCCAAGAGUUUAAAAAGGUUAAGCGUGUUAGAAUUAAAGUAGUUCUAGAAUGGGUGAUCUCUUUGGAAAGUUUGAGCGUCACAGUUGGUAUCUGAGCCAAUUAUCAGGCGGAAUAAGUUGGAGCAUCACAGUUGGUAUCAAAACUAAUUACCAGCCGGAAUUGUCAGAUGAGUCUCGGCUGAGUUAGAAUUAUACAGCGGAGAGAGUGAAGCUCUCCUACUGUUGACUAUUGUGGAUGGAGCGCGACUCCCCCAUAAGAUCAGUUAAGACUAGCGAGGCGAUUCUUACAUCGACUGAUAUAAAUUCGGUUAAAUAUUUUAUAUAUUAUUUCGUAUCUAUACGUAUAUUUUUUAACGCAAAUACAUCUCUAUAAUGAUUUCACAAAAUUCUUUGUUUAUGCAAUUGAUUACUUUAAAAGUUUAAGAUAUCCACCAAUUAAUGGUUUCCAAUAUUGAUAUUAAAAAAAUAAAGUAAAAUAAAGUAAAAUAAUAUAAAAUAGUAAGCUGAUGGAGAUUCUUUUUGAGUUAUUUUAACACUUUUUGAAUAUAUAAAUAUUUUGUUAACUUUUUAUAAAACCCAAUUAAACCCGGUGAAUGGAAUUGCUUUAUGAUGUAAACUAACUGGUCAAAUUAAGAAGAUAAAACUUCGAAUAUAUAAAUAUUAUGUUAACUUUUUAUAAAAUCCAAUUAAACCCAAAACGUGUGUCAUGGGUGAAUGGAAUUGAUUUAUGAUGUAAACCAACUGGUCAAAUUAAGAAGAUAAAACUUCGCAAUCUCUCAUUAAAAUGUGUGACAACUCUUUACUUGUAGACUAAGGUUGGAAUAAGGUGCAUAGGAGGGGGAAAAAAAAAGAGCAUAUUUCAAAAAAGAAAAAUAAAAUCUUGUGGGCAUAUGAUGGCCAUGAAUAUUUUAAUCAAUCUUUAUCUCUCUUACCAUAUUAUUUUAUAAGAUGUGCCCAGAGAGAGACCUUUGUCUUUCCCACUCUAGGAUCUUAAUUUAUUAUGCCAAUGUUUUAGGAGAAUAUACUUUGAGUUAGGCUGGUAUACUAUCGGUAGCACGAAGGUUUUCAUACUACUAAGUUGUUUUCGAUGAUGCGACUUUUAAAUUGACGAUCGGCUCUAUUAGACUUGAUCUACAGUACUAUUAAAAGUAUUUGAAAACUAAAUUUCAUAAUUUUUCGACAUCAUUUGGCUAGUGAUCAAAAGGUCUCAAAAUUGACAAUUUUAAUGGUAGAUGUGAUGCGUUUGUGAAUUUAACGGUGUAAACCAAUCUAAAUCUAAUAAAAUUUUUAUAGAAAUUUUUUUUCACUAUUUAGAGUAAGAUCAGUAUCUCUGAUCUUAAAUUUAAGUCUUCUAUCAUCAUUUUUUAUGAGAUUUUUAUUUUCAGCCGUUCAUUUUUAAACUACUCAUUUGAUAGGUAAAUGAUGCCGAAAAAUUGUAAAAUUUAGUUUCCAAAUACUUUCAAUAGUGUAGAUCAAGUCUAACGGAGCCGAUCAUCAAUUUGGAAGCGUCAUCAUCGAAAACAACUCGGUAGCACGGAGGCCUCCGUGCUACCGAUAGUAUACCAGCCUAGCUCAUAUACUUUUGAUCAUAUUCUAUGGUUUAGUGAGCCACAAUAAAUGUAAGCAAUAAAAUAGAAAAAACACAUAUGGUAGUUGAUUCAUAUUUUCAGCUAAAUUUAUUCCUAAAUAAAUAAAUAAAGCACGUAAUAUGCCACCUUUCUCUCUGAAAAAAAAAAAUCUCAAAAAAAGAGAGAAAAAUAUAUGUUCAUCUUCCAUUUUAAAAUUAUGUUUGGAUGUCUGAAUAUCUUAUUUAGUAUAUUUUCUUAAUUUAUUUAAGAAGCUGAUCUUAUUUAUUUAUAUAAGGAAUAUAAUUAAAUUCUAAAUUUCAAUGUCAUAUUCCGCCGUCAAAGUUAGUUUUUGAAAAAAAAUAAUUUACUUUACGUGUGAAUAUGCUAUCGAACCAAAUUAUAAAUAACAAAAUCUUUCUGAAAAUACAUAUCACUCUCUCGAACAAUUAUAAUCACGAAAGAAAAUAUCGAACGAGUUAUCACUAGAUAACUUAUUACGAUUUGCAAAAUGAGCCAAGGCUUCCUUUGGGGCUUCCUUUGGGUAUUAGAAUAGGUUAUUUAGUGAUAAUUUAUUCGGAAUGAGGACUUUCUUGCGUGAUUGGUAAUAAGAAGUUUGAUUUUUGCUCGUUAAAGGAUCUUAACAUCUGUGAUUUGAUAAGAAAACAUAUUUAACGAUGAAGUGAUUUCUCUUAUUCCAAAAACAUAGCUAGAAGGCGGAAUACAGAUAUUUUAUCACGCUCAUCAUCUGUCAAAUACUGCCAAGUUGAUAAAGUAAAUCAAAGAUUACUAGAAAAUUAAUUUUUUUUUUGUAUGAUUGCAAAUUAUCAUGAGUUUGAUAUUAAAAAUCUUCAUAUGCAUGAUCUGGUAAAAUUAUUGUAUUCCAACUAGGAGGCAAGUUAUGUUAUUUAAAAAAUGGUAAUGAACUGAUGACCUAGUAUAGCAUGCUUAUGGACACAAUUAAUAAUACUUACCAUCAAUAAAAUAUUAGGAACUUGAUUCACAAUCCAUGUGCUGAAUAAUACUUCAUGAACCCAACCAUACAUAAAUAUGUUAGGGAAAACUUCAAAUACCUUCUAUGUUAUUUUGCACUUUCUUACUUUAGUAUUGUAUGAUUUUAAGUAUAUUAAUUUAGUAGCUUGUGGUUUUAUUUUUCUCUUUUUAUUAUACAUUUCACUAAUUUUUUUUAUUAAAUUAGUGACAAAGUUAAAACAAAAGGGUACUGAAAUGAAUAUUUAAAAAACCUAGGUGGGAUAUCUGAAGUUUUUUAUAUAUAAUUUAACGAAAUGUUAACAGAGAAGUUGACGAAAAAAGAAAAUGAAACCACAAGGUACUAAUCUGAUAUAUUUUAAAACACAGGGUAUUAAAGUGAGAAAGUGCGAAACCACAAGAGUGGUAUUUGAAGAUUACUCAAUAUUUUAUACAGUGCUUUUUGAAAACUAUAUAUCAUUUACAUUUACUUUUUUAUUAUUUUUUUAUUUUUAUAUUUUUAAAGAGAUUUGGAGACUAAAUAGAUGGGGAUCAUAAGCACUAACUAACUAUCAUAAAAGUAUAUGUUGAUAGGAAAGGUGCACUGUAUUUAAGGACUCAGUCACAGUGUUUACAUAUUUCAAUCUGACUCAACAAAUACGAACGUUAAGUCUAUUGCUUGGUAAUUUGCUGUUAGGUCUAUUAUGAACCACAACCCCACUCAACUUAUUGGGCUUAAUCCAACUCAACUUAUUUGUCUACAUAGGCCUAUUAUCACUUGGUAUGAAGUUGAAAUUAUUUUAACUAAUAGUAUAUCGCCCACAAUCCUCCCUCCCACUAUUAACAUCUGCACCGUUAAUGCAACAUGUGGGAAUCGAACCUGUGCUACUAACUCUGAUGGAUCGUAGGCAUUAAUAAUUUCAAAAGCGUAUGUCGUAAAAAGGUUGCACCCAUUAUACUUAGAGAUUCAGCCACAAUGCUCAUGGGUUUCAACUUGACUGAACACAUCUGAGUGUUAGAUCUAUUGUUUGAUUUCUUCCCGUACUAUUAUGGACUGCAGUUUUACUCAACUUAUUUAGCUCAUCCGACUCAACUUAUUAGUUUCGUAUACGGAGCAAAAUGCUGGUUCCAUUUUUAGCCAAUAAUAAAGCUAACAAUAAAGACCCCUGACUUGUGGGUCCCACUUGAAUUAUUUAGCAUGUGGUGCAGCUACUAACUGACAUGUCUAGAAACUUUAAUAGCUAGUCCCCAUCUUAAUGGUUUGGGACCAGAUCAUGUACCUUUCAAACUAUAGGAAAAGUAAAAAAUGUGUUAUUGUUGAAUUGAUUAAUUAAAACCUACUCCAUCAAUUUAUUUUCUCAAUUCUAAUAUAUCACAUGGCAAUGAGUCAUCAAUUGUUACAAGAAAACUACUUAUUUAAUAAAUCUUCAAUGGUCUUAUACAAAACUAGAACUAGUAUAUGAAAUAUUCCUUUCAAACUUAGAUUAAUUAUUCAUUUAUAUUUUUAGGUAGAAAUUGUGGAAAUUAACCCCCUCAACUAUUGGCAUUUCUAUUGGAAAUUAACCCCCUCAACUAUUUUUUAUGGAUAAAAACUCCUUAACUUCUAAUUUUCUUUUGUUCGAAUUUUUAUACUUAGUUAAUAAAAGAUUUGGUCAAACUUAAUGAUUUUUUUUUCAGAUUAUUAACCAUUAUAUAACUGGUCUAGCAAGUUUUAUUUAUUAAAAAGUGAAUUUAAUGACUCUAAUAUGCAUAUAUAUGCUUACUUUUAAUAGACUUGAAAAAAUUCCUAAUAUUUCGACGAAAUUAUUUAAUUUUAAAAAUAAAAGCUAGUAAUAUUUCAAUAAAAAAAUAAUUGAGGAGAACUAAAAUGUCGGAUACCUCGUAGUUGAGCCAAAAAUUAUAAUUGGGUCAAGUUUUGGGACUAAAAUGUUGCGCGUUUUAUAGCUCGAGUCAUAAAUUAUAAUUAGUUAAAAUUGAAGGAUUGAAAUGUAAGCUACGCAAAUGUUUUUUUUAAGUAAAUUUACAAUGGUCGGAAUUAUAUAAAUAUUCCUUUCAAACAGAGAUUAAUCAUCCACAUUUUUAUUUGACAAAGAAAAAAAAAACCACAAUUGUACAAAAGUCAUUGGUGGAAGAGUCAUCCCCGCAUCCGAGGUCACAUGGUGUCAGUUUUCGAUUUUUCCACACGAUGCCAGGCUUUAAAUUUUUUUUUUUUUUUUUUUCACUUUCUUUUAUAAAAUAUUUAGAAGAGCUUUGAAGCUUUAAAUCUGGUAAAAUAUAAAAUAGUCGCUUUCAGCUACCACAUUAUCAUAUUAGGUCUUGUUCGUCUCCGAAUAGCUAUACUGUGGCAUGCAAUCGCAAAUAUUCGUCACACACCUGUGCUCGAUCGUCGGUUGGAGCUUUCGCUCGCCACAAUGUUGUAUGAUGAUAGCUGAGAUCGAUUUCGUCCAGCUUCUAAACUAGCUUCUCGAGUUAUAAAAUGAUUCAUAGUUUUUACGAAUUCUAGAAAAUUAAGAUUUUCUAAUAAAAAUCAUGGUCUAGAUUUUUUCUAAAAGUUCUACUAUAUAUAUAUUCUUGUUUGUUAAUACGGUGAGUAAUUAGUUAAAGACACUAUUUUUAUAUCAUGAAAAGUCUGAAAAGAUUUUAAAAAAAUGCUACUUAUAGGGCUGUGCAUCUAACACACUCAGAGUCAGUAGUACACUAAACUUCUUUUAGAGUUUUUAAGAAAAAACUAAAAAUUGAUGAGACAAGCGAGCAGAUCGGCCACCAAAAAGAUGGUGUGGUGUAAACUUUACACCUUAUAUGCUAUAGUUGUAUAGAUAGUAUUGCUCAAAAUAUUAGAAUAGUGCUUUUAGCCAUCGCAAUAUAAAACGCGACCAUAAAUAAUAGUACUUUUACUAAAUCAAUUUUAAAACCAAAUUAAGCAUGCCCACUGACUUAAUUGCCACUCUUUUUUGCCCUAUAUAUACAUCCCUAUGUCGUGUGGCCAUCUCACAACACACACACACCCCCUCUCCCCCUCAAUAUUAGCUUAAGAUAAAAAACAAGAUGUCUCACCCAUGCUCUCUUCUCCUGGCCUUGAAUCUGAUCACCAUCACCUUGGCUUUGCUCUCUCAAAGAUCUCAAGCCCAGUUGAGCCCCUCCUUCUACAACUCCACCUGCUCGAACGUGUCGGCGAUCGUUCGCAGCACCGUCCAGCAGGCGCAGACCUCCGACGUCCGCAUUUACGCCAGCCUCACUCGCCUCUUCUUUCACGAUUGCUUCGUCCAAGUAACCACUAUUUCUUUUAUAUAUAUAGAGCCCAGUUGCUAUACUAUCAGUAGUACAGAAACCUCCGUUCUACUAAGUUGCUUUUAAUGAUUGAACUUUCAAAUCGGCGGUCGACUCUAUUAGACUUGAUCUACACUAUCGAAAGUAUUUGAAAACUAAAUUUCAUAAUUUUUGGACAUUAUUUAGCUAUCAAACGAAUAGUCUAAAAAUAAACGAUUAAAAAUAAAAAUUUCAUUAAAAAUGAUGAUAAAAGACUUGAAUUUAAGAUCACAUGUACUGAUCUUAUUCUAUAUAGUGAAGAGAAUUUUCUAUAAAAAUUUUAUCAAAUUGAAUUAUUUUACACUGUAAAAUUUACAAACGCAUCACAUCGGCCAUUAAAAUUAUCAAUUUUGAGACUUUUUGAUCACCAGCCAAAUAAUAUCGAAAAUAUGAAAUUAAUUGGUUUCUAAAUAUUUCUAAUAGUGUAAAUCAUGUCUAAUGGAGCCGCUCGUCGAUUCAGAAGCCGUAUCAUCAAAAUCAACUUGGUAGCGCGGAGGCUUCCGUAUUACCGACAGUACAACAACCUAACUCUCUCUCUCUCUCUCUCUAUAUAUAUAUAUAUAUAUAUAUAUAUAUUCACUUCUUUUUUUAUUCUAAUGUCAAAUCGAGCACGAAUAAGUUGUACAUGAACAAACAUUGAGUUAAUGGCCUAAUUUCCACAUUAACAUGCAUUACACAUUAGUUGGUUAGGAUAGUAUCCAACUCAGGGUUGCGACGAACUUGUUUGAUCACACUCAGGGUUGCGACGGGUCGGUUUUGCUGGUCAAUAGUUCGACGAUUCAGACCGAACAGGAUGCCGUCCCAAAUAAGAACUCGAUUCGAGGUUUCAACGUCGUCGCUGACAUCAAGACGGCCGUGGAAAAUGCUUGCCCAGGAGUUGUCUCCUGCGCCGAUAUUCUCGCUCUCACAGCUGAAGCUUCAGUUAACUUAGUAAGCCAUUUUUUCCAUCUCUCUCUCUCUCUCUCUCUCUCUCUCUCUCUCUCUCUCUCUUCUGAGUCUCUAUAAUGGAUUCUCAAUAUUCGUACAGAUGUAUCGAUACGAAAUUUUAUUUAUCAAAUAUAUUCCUCCGGAGGUGCAUAGCCUACAAAUAUAUUUCUCUGUUAGUUAACCAGUAAAUAUUAUUUUUUCUACAAAAUAUUUUUAAUUAUUUUUUAACCUCAUUUAUCAUUUUUGAUAUUUUUAUUUUAACUUUCUUAAUUUGUUGGAUUUUGCAUUGAUGUAGUAGUCACCAUAUCUCUAUGGAUCUCUGAAAACAAGUGGUAAGAAGGUGACAGGAAGUACUUCUCCUUAAAGUGAGAUAUAAUUCAUUUUCAAAGUUGCAACCACUUUUUAAUGAACUUGGUCUUGUUACUUUAUUAUCUUUUGACUAGUGAACAAGUGAAAAAUUUAUUGUCGGAACUGUGAAGAGAAUUGAUAGUUCUAAUAAACAGGCUAAAUUACAAAAUAAUAAAUUAAUUUUUAUCUUGUACCUUAUUUUCAUCUCAACACUACAACAGAAUUAGGUUAUAGGGACACAUGUUUGGGAUACUUUUAAGUAAAUAUCUUAUUUAUGCUAAAACUUAAAAAAACAUCUACUUAUGCCUAAAUAUAAAGCCCAAUCAAACUAAAAAUAAAAGAUUACUCUACUCAACCCACCACACCCAGUCCAUUUGACCCGAUUACAAACAAAAAAAAAAAAGAAAAAUCAAUUACCAUCUUUUCUUUUCUCUUCACUCAAUCCAUUGAAAUUCUAGACGAAGAGCCUUUCCUGUCGUCCUCCUCCGUCACCAUAGCCAAUGAGAUAGAGUUUCGGCGAUUGCUAAAUGCUUAAAUAAGUGUUGGUAAUUAGCAGCACUCUUUUAGGCUAUAGCGACACUCUUUAACUGUCACUAUAUACCUAGCGACCCCACAUAUAGCAAUACUUUUUAAAAGUGUCGGUAAUUUUAGCUAGCAGCACUUUUUUGACAUGUACCUAUAUUUAAAAGUGUCGGUAUAAACCGUUUUUGUUGUAGUGCAAAGAGAUCCAAUUUUAAAAUAAUUGUUUAAUUCUGCUUUAAAAUGUUAUAGUUUUAGUAAAAUUUACCUCUAUCAACUUAUUUUGGUAAAAUUUUACAAUCAAAUAAACCGCUUCGUUCAUUUUAUUUAGAAAUAAAAUUAGCUAAAAAUAUGAAUCAACUAAAUUCGAACUUGGAAUCUCGGGUACCAACCACCGAGCCCUUUUCCACUUGCGCUAGGGACGGUCGAUAGUGCAGGUGAAAGUUAAUGCAGUUUUUUAUACAAGAAAGUAUAAUUGAGAGACGAACUUAAUUAAGUGCCCAAAAGAUUUCGUAAUCUAGGGUAAUAAAUAAUUAAGUUAAUGAGGAUUAGUUAGGAUAAGGUGAUUUGAACAAGUUCAUUUACUCAACUUCUUAAUGAGGAUUAGUUGGGAGAAGGCAUUUUAAUGAGAGGGUUAGUUACGAUAAGGUGAUUUGAACAAGUUCUUUUAUUACCAUCCCUAGAGCAAGUGACAAAGGGCUUGGUGGUUGGUACCCGAGAUCCAGGUUCGAAUCCUAGUUGAUUCACAUUUCUAGCUAAGUUUAUUUCUAAGUGAAAUAAACGAAGCGGGUAGCGUGCUACCUAUCUCUCAAAAAAAAAAAANAAAAAAAAAAACAAGUUUUUUUAUUUUUUUUUUUUAUUAAAAUGCACCAUCGUAGUGCAAUAGAAUUUUAAUUUAUUGGACGUGUUCUAUAAUAUUCAAAAGACAUACAUAUCUCAAAUCAUAAGUUUUAGUUAUCAUUAAUUUCUUCUGGAUUGAACAAAAACAUUGAAUAUAAACUAUAAAAAAAUAUCAUUCUUUCGUAGCUUAAUUUUUAGACACAAACAAUUGUUUCACAUGAUAUCAUAGCAAAACGUCAUUCGUUUGGUUCGGGGUUAAGAAAAAAGUAACUAUUCCAGGGAUAGAGUUAAGUUCAAGGUUAAAGUGGGGUUAAAAUUUUUUUGUGUUUGGUUGGGGGUUGGAGUUAGUCUAGAAUAAUAAAAAAUAGUGUCUGGUUGGAAUAGGUGGGAUAAGAAGAUAAUGAUUGAUAAAGAAGGAUAAUGAUUGGUUGGAGUAUGUGGGAUAAAAAUGAUAGUGGGUUAUUAUGAAUAGAAAAUAGUGUUUAGUUAGAGUUUGGUGAGGUUAGGUGGGGUUAGCUAACCCGGGAUAAUUUAUUUGAGGUGGGGUUAGCUAACCCCACCCAUUUUUUGGAGUGUUUGAAAAUAAUAUGGGGGUUAAGGGGUUAUUCCACCUCUUAACCCCCAACCAAACAAGGACUAAGAGUUCAAAUCCAAAUUUAGUGCCUCUUAUUUAAUUCAAGUAUAUAUCUUCGUUUGUUUUAUCCAAAAUUUUCACACUAGCACAUAAGAGGAUGAAAAAAGUACCGUCAGCUAUUAAUCUUUUUUAUCUUUUUUUUUUUUCCAUCUCUUUCUUUUCCAUAAUUGACUUGAAAAAGUUAUAACUUUGGUUGCAUUCUUAAAAAGGAGAUUGUUAUCAAAUAAGAUAGAUCUCUACUUAGAUGCUUUAGGCAAAAUCUUCUCAAAUAAGAUAAAUAGUUAUUAUGUAACAAUUAGUAGCAUUCCAUAAGAAAGGAGAUUGUUUCACUCAAGGUGGGGAGGAAGAAAGGAGAUUGUUCCACCGAAGGUGGAGAGAAGUAACGUGAAGUGAUUUUCGACUGUAUAUGCCCAUUUUCUUUAUUUGGUUCAUCAAAAUUAAAUAAGACCGUAAUUCAAUUUUUUCGUAACGUUGUAUUUGAUUUAGCAUUGGUUGGUAAUGAUGAAGUCAAUCGCAGAAGAAAAAGAGAUAGAAAAAAUAAUAAAAUUUGAACAAUUGUUUCCAUAAUGUUGUAUUUCGUUUAGCAUUGUUUGGUAACGGUGAAGUCAAUUACAGAAGGAAAAGAGAUAGAAAAAUAAAAUAAAAUUUGACGAUUGUAACACACACACACUUUUUGGGAAACAAACACAGAAAGUGAAAAGCAUCAGUUUUGAGGCCAUUAAACGAACGGCGGUUAGAAAAAUAGUUUUUACUUGAACUUUAUUUCAAUUAAAAAUUAUUUUCAACCUGAAAAAUAGUUACACGCACAAAUUAACAAGCAGACCCUUGGUGGAGUCGAGCUUGAGCAAGGUUUGUUGAGCAUCUCACUAACUUAGGGCCUCCAUGGUACUGAGGGUUGUCUAAUGCAUGUUAUUAGAUAAAGAUAUGCUCCUGUGUAUUAAGUGGACUAUAUAAAUUAUAUAUUGUAACUGAAUCAUUAGAUUUUACAUCGUGAUGUCUUUUACACAAAUAAUGGUACAUUUUUUUCAUCGCACUUUCUGCCUGUACGUAAUGCAUCGUCCCCUCAACUCCAAAUAGAAACUAAGAUAGUUAAUGAUCCAAGAUAUAAUGUUUGUUUUUUUUUACUCUUUAUGUUGGAGUGCAAAUAAUUUUUCUCACAAUAAUAAUUGUAAUAGGCUGGAGGACCCUCAUGGACUGUGCUACUGGGGAGAAGGGAUAGCACCACUGCAAACAUCACUGCAGCCAACAAUCUCCCUAGCCCCUUUGAUAACCUGACCACUCUUGAACAGAAGUUCGCCGCCGUCGGUCUCAACGACACCGAUCUCGUCACAUUAUCAGGUAUCUGCAUAAUCAUCAAAUAUCAACACUUUCUCAACUCGAAAUGCAAAAGUCAAAUGUUCUAAAACACACACAAAAAACUGGAACAAAUUAUGGUUUGUUUAGCUCCCAACAAAUUAAGCCCUAAAAAUAUGUUUGCUAUAGAGCUCUCUAAAAACAUAUACUACUAUACUACCCGAAAAGUCAUGGGAGUUGAAUCCGGCAUGCAAGGUUUGAACUUGAGUGACAGACCAACUGGUUUAUACAGUGGCUAUUAAUGUAUGUCUUUUUGUAGCUGGUUAAUGUUCUCUUUUAUAUUCACUUUUGUCAAUAACAGGAGCUCACACAUUCGGCCGAGGCCAAUGCCGGUUCGUCACUCCACGGCUCUAUAAUUUCAGCAGCACCGUGAAUACAGACCCGACCCUGAACUCAACCUAUGCGACCACAUUGGAGCAAAACUGCCCCCAGGGCGGGAACGCAUCGGUCCUGAAUAAUCUCGACCCGAUCACGCCGAACACGUUCGACAGCAACUACUACAUAAAUCUGCAGAACCACCAAGGGCUCUUCACAUCUGAUCAGGAGCUCCUGUCGGAUCCCAAUGCGACGACGACCGCCUCGAUCGUCAAUAAUUUUGCCGGCAACCAGAGCGCAUUCUUCGAUAGCUUCGUGCAGUCGAUGAUCAACAUGGGGAAUAUUAGCCCCUUGACAGGGAGCAGUGGGGAGAUCAGAACCAACUGCAGUGUGGUGAAUAGCGGAUCCGGUUUGGAGUUGCAUAUUCGGAUUCAACAUGAUUCUGACAAGGGUUCAGCUGCAGAAUAAAAUAUUAAAAAAUAGGGUAAAUUGCAAAUUUGGUGUGGUGGGUGACAUUUUGAUCCUCAAACUUUAAUUUAUUGUCAUUUCUUGCUCAAACUUUUGGAAUUGGUGCAAUUAAGUUCUAUAACCCAAAUUAGUUGACUAAAUAUUGAUAUAUUACUAAAAUAGAAGUAAUGUAAUAGUGAUGUGAUUGAUAAUACACAAAUAUUUAAAAUGUCACAUUACUUUUACAUCAGCGAUCAAUGCGUCAAUAUUUAGUUAAUUAAAUUAGGUUUUGGAACUUAAUUAUAACAAUUCUGAAAGUACAAGCUAGAAAUUACAACAAAUUAAAGUUUGAGCACUAAAUGUCAUCGGUCUCAUAGUUUGAAGAACAAGCAUGCAAUUUACCGCAAUAAUAUAUAAUGUAUCUGAACUUAAAUCUAAAUAGCUUUUUGUGAUCACAAUAAUAUGAUCAGAGAUAUACUCUCUCUCUCUCUCUCUCUCUUUCUCUCCUCUUUCUGGCUCUCUUUCUCAUCUUACUUUUUCCUCAUCCACAAUGGUACUCAUAACAGUGCUAGAAAAAAGUCUAAAAUGUGGAAGUCACAUAGAUGAUAUGGUACUGUUUUCAACCAAUCACAAUUGAAUCCUAGAGUUCGCCCAUUUUAUCACACGGUGUUAGAAAAAUAGUUUUGGUGUACUAUUUUUCAAAAAGAGAAAAUUUGAUUGGUUGGGAUAUGGGUGACGUAGUGCGACCGCUACAUAGAAGACUUUCUCUAGCAUUAGAGUCCUCGUCCUCCUGUCAAUAAUGUGUGUUAUUUUUGUGUUUGGGUAUUGUGAGUAUUCUGGUCAUAGCGGUGUGCGGCAAAUUCAAUAAAGGCUUGUUGAGGACAUUGUGCUUGGUUACUGCUUUCACAUGGCUCAAGUUUUUCUUCAUAGUGUUUAAUUUUUGUCUAUUUCUCACGGGCUUUCACGUCGAUUAUGACUUUAAUUGUUCUGUCAACUUAGUUGCUUUGAUUUGUUGGUUUUGGGGUUUUAUUUAUUGUUUUCUUUUUAUAUUUUUAUUGUCCAGGGUUGUGCUUAAAAUUUCUCUCCAAAAUUAUGUACUGUCAUAAUCAAGUUCUACUCCAACGAAAUGCCUACGGAUUUUUUUUCUUUAAAACAAAUAUAUAUGAUUUAGAUCAUAAAUAUGUUUUCCCCAGUGAACUGUUUAGAUCACAUAAACCAAAAAAAAACUACUUUGCCUUUUUUUAAAACUGUUUGUUAAGUUCAUUCGAGUUUAACAAGCAUUAAGAAUGGCUUCAUUUCGCUGUUGCAGAUUGUUUAUAAACUUUGUAAUUGUUUCAUGUCAAAAUUAAAUUUCAAGAGUAUUAGCUUUUGUUUUUUUUUGUUUUUAAAAUAAGUUUGCAAACUUACAAUAAUAUAUAAAAAAGAGCAUAUAGAGAAAUCCAUAUCUAGUUUCUUGAAUAAAGUAGAACUUGAACAAUGCAAAAAUAAUAUACACAAAUAAUGGCAAAUAUAUACAACAUCAGCUAUUGUCACGUACGUUACGGGAUUCUUUUUGAAAAUCUUUUUUAAAAAACUAGCGAAAAACGUAAAUUUUUUUUUUUUCUAAACACCUUUAAAGGCACCUCGAGAAUUCGUCAAGAUCUAUCAUAUGGAUAAGGGAUCCCUAAGCGAAUGAAUAGAAUCUCUCUUAUACAUGCAUGACAUUGAACAUUUAUACAAACAUCAACCCCACAACAAGCACACAGACAGAUAUACACAUAAAUAUUUGAAAUUCAUAAUUAGAAAUCAACUAAACCAAUAACUAAAUCCAUAGUUAGCAGUCAUUAAUAAACAAUAAGUAACAAACUAAACUAAGUCACGUGGAUCUGAAACAUAAAACCAAUCUGAAUAAACUGAAACACAUGGUAACCAAUCUGAAACAAUAUAAAACCAAUCAAAAAUGAGUAGAGUAAAAAUAAAAUAAAAUAUUAAGCUUAUAAAGAAUUUUUUUGAGUUAAAAGUUAAAACUGAUAAAAAAAUAAUAUUCUUAAUUUUAAAAUUCUUUGAAUAGAUAAAAUAUUAUAUUAACUUAUAUUCUAUAAAAACCAAUUAAACUCAAAACGUGUAUCUUGGGUAAAUGGAAUUGAUUUAUGAUGUAAACCAACUGGUCAAACGAAGAAGAUAAAACUUCGCAAUCUCUCAUUAAAACCUUAUUUCCAUUAUUAAAAAUAAAAAAUGAUCUUGUUGCAUAUGAUGGCCAUAAAUAUUUUAAAUGAAUAUUUUAAUCAAUCUUUAAUUAUCUCUCUUAGCAUAUAUUUACACAAGUUGGAGUUUGGAGUUAGUAAAACAUGUGUCCAGAGAGACUCUUCUCUUUCCCCACUCAAGAUCUUAAUUUAUUAUGUAUGUUUUCGAAAAAUAUGCUUUGAUCAGAUUCUAUAUUUCAUGAACCACGACAAACGUAACCAAGAAAAUAGAAAAAGACAUAUUCAUCUUCAACAAAAAAUAUUCUAUUCAGACAUAUAAACAUUAGCACAAAAUAUAUUUUAGACGAUGCUUUUUAAACGCUCAAUUCUAGCAUUGUUAAUAUUUGGCAUGCGUCGACACUAUAAUUAAGUAAUAUUUUUAUCAGAUACUGAUAAAAAUUCUCUGACGCUAUAUUAAAGCGUUGGUGUAUUUAUUCCGACACAUUUACUUAACGACUCUUUGCUUGACACUUUUACAAGCGUCGGGAUUAUUCUUACCGACGCUUGUAUGUAGUAUCUCUGGUGUUUGGUUACCCGUGGAUUUCAGCAUCUGAGACUUAUCGACACAUCUGGAGAGUGUCGAGAUAAGUCGCAAUCGUUUUGGCGUGAAAUGGACGCAAAACGGACUGAGUGCAACGUGAGAGCAGAGUUUGAUAUUGAAAUUUGCAAAGUGUGGGUUUCAGUAUUAAGUACCGGUACCAUGCAGGGGAGUACCGGUAUCCAGUGUAUUUUUCGAACAGCUGCUCUCGGGUUGCGAUAAUUGAUGCUGAGUACUGGUAAGGCAUCGGGCUGGUACCGGUACUCUAGCUGGAAUGUUGAGUUGGUGAGGGGUAGAACGGUCUUUUUGUUGGUGGUUAUCCACACCACCAAAUCCCUCGUAUUUAUCCACCAGAGAGAUUAAUUAUCCUUCUCCUCUCUUUCUCUAACUUUGGUUAUAUGCUUGGUGGAGACCACAGCUUGAGCUCGGAUCGACGUCGACGUUGCGCCGGGGAGCUGAUCGAGCGCGUGGACGUCGCGGUUGCGCCGUUAGAGGCCGGACGAGCGCGUAUUUUCCCUUCUUUUGACUUCUCACCGUAGUUGGACUAGUUUUUUGAGGUGGGUUGAAGUUUACAGAAAUCGCCGGAAUACCUCCUAUGUUUUUAUACCGUCGACAUGUAUCAUUUGUGUAUUUUUCUUACUAGUACUCGAAUUCAUGGAUUAGUGUUUAAAUCUGAAUUUGGCGUUAAGCUAGUAGUUUAAUAUUAUAUGUUAGACUUGGAAUUGACUUAGGAGAAAACAUAUAGAUCCUACAUUGUCACUUUCUGAAAAUUACCAGAUUUAGUUUUAGAAGCUAUGGUUUAUUUGUAUCGUCGUUGUUAGUAUGCGAUGGAUACCCAGAUUAGGAUAGGAUGAGUUUACGCUCGUACUGGGAUGCCGAGUUUAUUUUUACAGUAGUGUGUAGACUGUUUCAGACUGUCGGGUGCCGUCGCGGUUGACAGUGGACCCAAAUUUCUAUAUUUACAUCAGAUUGUGCCAAGGGCACGUGAGUUUUGGUUGUUAGACCAGUUAGACCCAGUUGUUUUGAUUAUAGUCCGUGAGAGCCUGAUUGAGCUCGUUAGAGACAUACUUUCAUACUCGGUUGGGUAGCGCCCACGAGUGCCACUCCGGAGUCGGGCUUAAUGCGUUUGCGUUGAUGUCGUAGUGUCCUGGUUGGACUUGGUCUCCACCAACAAUCCAGCGUGGUGGUGGUUGGUGUAGUUUCGACAGAUGGGACGGUUGUGUUCACAGUCCCUAAUGAGAUUGGGUCAGAGAUUGCAUCUUGCUUAUAUCUACAGAUAACUAAUGUUGGUUAGCGACAGUAUAGUGGCAUGUAGCCGUAGAGUUUUUUCAGCUUUCUUUACUAUUCUUGAGCAUACUUUCUGUAGACUGUGGGUGAGCCGUUGAGGUCGGCAGUGGUACCCACUGAGGGCUACUUUUUUUUGGAGUAGUUCUCACACCCAGUUGUUGACCCUUUUUUGCAGAGCCUUCGUCCGCGGCUGCUGCUGUUCCUGAUUUGGAUCGUGGAAAGGGAGUCGCGAGCUAAAUCCCUUCUAGUCUUGUUGCUGUUCUAGAGGAGUACCAGCUAUAGAUAGUUUUGAUUUUUAGUUCAUGUAGAUACUGAUGUUAGUUAGUCGCUGGAGCGAGUGAUGUCUGUAUCUUGGAGAUUAUGUAUGUAUAGUGAACCUGAUAUUUAUUUAUAUAUGUGUACAGUUCUGUUAGCAGCUCUAUACUACUAGUUGUAGUUUUGUAUGAUUACAGGUAUAGAUACAGCUAUCGCUUUAUAUACAGAGAAAAUUCUUUUGUAUACGGCGGGUCUAUUGGCGUGCCCGAAAAAAUGUGGUAAUCCGGGAUGUGACAUUUAAAGUAUCGCUAAUUAUUGUUUAAACUGCCCUUAAGUGCAAGAUUUGUUGUAGUGAAAUAUUUUAUGUAGUAUAUUUUUCUUAUUUUAUUUACGGAGUUUAUAAUAUUUAGUAAAUGAGGAAUUUAAUUAAAUGUCUAAAUUGAAAUAUCAUACUUACCCGUCAAAGUUUUUUUUGAGAAAAAGAAAAUUUUAUAUGUGAAUAUAUUAUCUAACCAAAUAAUGAAUAACACGGCCUUUUUGAAAAUAAAUAUCAGUCUCUCAAAUAAUUCCAAUCAUGAAAGAAAAUGCACAAAUCGAAGGAGUUAUUGCGUGCCCGGGGAACGAGACAUCCGGGGCGUGACAUAACCCUUCUUUGGAUGUCCGAAUAAAUUAUUUAGUGAUAACUUACACUACAACAGAAUUAGAUUAUAGAGACACAUUUUUGAGACACUUUUAUAUAAGUGUCCCAUUUAUACUAAAACUUUUAAAAAAGUCAACUAAGGCCUAAAUAUAAAAUCCAAUCCAACAAAAAAUAAAAAAGUUAUUCUGCUCAACCCAUCCCACCUAGCCCAUUUGGCCUAAUUAUAAAAUAGAAAAGAAAAAGAAAAAAAAAUCGAUCACCAUCUCCCCUUCUCUCCUCACUCAAUUCACUGAAAUCCUAAACGAAGACCCUUCGCUCUCCUCCUCCUCUGCCACCGCAGCCAACGAGGUAGAGUUCCGGCUGUUGCUAAAUACUUAAAUAAGUGUUCGUAAAUUAGCAGCAUUCUUUUUAGAUUAUACCAACACUCUUAAACUAUCACUAUAUACCUAUCAUCUCCACAUAUAACAAUAUUUUUUAAAGUGUCGGUAAUUUAGCCAGCAACACUUUUUUUGAUCUAUACCGACAUUUAAAAGUGUCGCUAUACAUCAUUUUUAUUGUAGUGUUAUUUGGAAUGAGAAUUUUCUUGUGUGAUUGAAGAUGUUCGAUUUUUGCUAUUUAACUGUUUUGACAUUUGUAAUUUGAUAAUAUAACAUAUUUCAUCUAUAAAGUAACUUUUCUUAUUCUGAAAAAAUGACUAAAAUGCUAGAUAUAUGAUAUUCCAUUUAGACAUUUUAUCAUACGUCUCAUCUGUCUUAUAAAUAAAUCAAAGAUUACCGAAAAAAUGAGAAUUAUUGUUUAUGAUUGCUAGUUACGAGUAUAAUCUUAAAAGAUCUUUAAUGUGCAUGAUCUGGUUAAACCGGUGUAAUCCGAAUAGGGGGUAAGUCAUAUUAUUUAAAAAAUAUUAAUGAUUUAAUGACUAAAUAUAAUAUGCCUAUGUACACAAUUGAUUAUACUUCUCAUCUAUAAAAUAUUACAAACUUCAUUAGUAUUGCGCUGAAUAAGAUGUUCAUAAAUCCAAAUAGACUCAAAGUCAAAAUUAAUCCUGAUUUCCAUUACUUUCUUGUACCUGUGGGUUUUAUAAAGAAAAUCAAGACAAAUUUAAAAUACAUAAAUAUUUUAUUCUGUAUAUAUUUACAUAAAUAUUUUAUUCUGUAUAUAUUUGAAUUUUAUUUUAUUUACAUUAAAUAGGUGUAAGUGCUAACUAACUAUUUCAAAAGCAUGAUAGCACUCAUUGGUUUCCUUUUUGAGAGAUAGAUAGCACGCUACCCGCUUCGUUUAUUUCAUUUAGAAAUAAACUUAGCUGGAAAUGUGAAUCAAUUAGGAUUCGAAUUUGGGUCUCGGGUACCAACCACCAAACCCUUUGCCACUUGCUGUAGGGACGGUCGGUGAUAGUGCUCAUUGGUUUCAAUCUGACUCAACCCACCUAGAUGUUAGGUUUAUUGUUUGGGCUCAUCCAACUCAACUUAUUGGGCUCAUCCAACUCAACUUAUUACUCUCCUAGCCCUAUUGUCUAUAAUAACUAUAAAAUUCAUACUCUGUAAUGAAUUAGUUUACUUAAAUUCAUUUGAAUUUAUAUUCAAAUUCUGGAGGAAAGAGAGAAAAGGUUAUUUUGAGAUUCAAACACCUUCAAAUGAAACAAAAAACACUAUUUUAACGGUCCGGCAGUACUGAAAGCGUGGUGAAGUCCAUUUUCACAUUUGGCUCAUCGAAAGCUCAAAAAAGCACGAAAAUAAAAACGAGGUCAAAAUUGAAAAAUUAUUUUUUAAAAAAAGAUUAAAUAUUUUAUGUACCAUUUCACGGGAAAUUGAAUAGGGAGGUACCUUUAUGCUAAAUACACGUACUGCUGAGGGCUUAGAACAAAAUUUUGAAAAUGGAGGGACUUUGGAGCAUUUUUGCCAAACCCUACAUAUUGGUUCGGGUAUAAGUAAGAACUAGCUUAUACCAGAGAUAGGUACAAAUUUAGAUAUAAGCGAGAACCAAACCAAUUUUGUGUUUGGAUGAAAAUUUGGUUGUUCACGGGAAUAAGAAAAAUAGCGGUUGGAUAGAUAAGAUGGAAUAAGAAAAAUAGUUGAUGGUUAUAAAUAGAAAAUAAUGAUAUUACCCCUCAUUAUAUUUGAAUUUNGGAGGAGGAAACCCUUGGGAGGUCGAAGGCGUGGGCCUGGGGUGGCACCGAGGGGAAAGGAGAUUGGGUCAAGUGGCUUAGUGGGAGAGAGAGAGAGAGAGAGAGAGAGAGAGAGGCUUGGGAGACUGUUGGCCGAUUUUCGACGGUCGCGGGAUGGUCGCCGGUGGUUGGGAUCGACGACGAUGUAGCAGAGGAGAGUCCUUGUGACAGCUGAUGGGUUGAGAGGGAGAGGGGAUUGAAUAGGGUUGAUGGAAACCCUAAGAGCCAGUUUGGAUUGGGUACAAGAUGGGGUAUAAGGUCCUUAUACCCCAUCUUGACCUUAUACCCCAUCUUGUACCCGAACACAAUUUGGGCUAGGUCGGAACUAUAUUUCCCACCUUAGCGCUAAGGUGGGAAAUAUAGUUCCGACCUAGCCCAAAUUGUGUUCGGGUACAAGAUGGGGUAUAAGGUCAAGAUGGGGUAUAAGGACCUUAUACCCCAUCUUGUACCCAAUCCAAACUGGCUCUUAGGGUUUCCAUCAACCCUAUUCAAUCCCCUCUCCCUCUCAACCCAUCAGCUGUCACAAGGACUCUCCUCUGCUACAUCGUCGUCGAUCCCAACCACCGGCGACCAUCCCGCGACCGUCGAAAAUCGGCCAACAGUCUCCCAAGCCUCUCUCUCUCUCUCUCUCUCUCUCUCUCUCCCACUAAGCCACUUGACCCAAUCUCCUUUCCCCUCGGUGCCACCCCAGGCCCACGCCUUCGACCUCCCAAGGGUUUCCUCCUCCGGCAGCCCGAGCGCGGCCAGGCCCUCCCCGAGCAAAGGAUCAAAGUUUGAUCCUGUUUGGAGUGGUUUCGGGCCAUACCUCUGUUUGACCGCCGCUAUCGCUUCCUACCUUUGCUGUCGACCCGGAAGCACCCUCCGGAGUCGCCCUAACACUCCCGAACUUCUCCUAUGGCCAAAAAUCUAUGUUCCGGCCUCGGGGCUUCUUGGUUGGUCACAACAUCAAAAGCGCCGCCACCUAUGCCUCCCGCCGCCGGCAGUUGCCUCCCCUAACUCCUUCCUAACUGCCACUAUAUUCAUCAACCGGCGCAUGUGCCCCCUGGCCGUCGAAGCUCGGGAAGAAGAAGAUGCUAUCUUGGUUGACCCGAGCUAGGGUUUUCUUUUGGCCGACUUCAUUUUCUCGGCCAUCCCUGAUACCACCGACUCCACGGAAGGUGAGCACGAUCCUCCUAAAGUGCUUGGACAUCCGUGCUCACAUUCAUUGUAGUCCAAGAGGUCUCGAUUUGUGGAUCCUGCUAUGACGCUCCCAAAGACCUUGAAAACUACAAUUCAUGUAACCCUGGUGCACUUCUCAGCCUUCGUUUGCACUUCAAACAAUGAGCUCGGGCUUUGGUACGUCGAGACCUGUCAGCCAACUAAAAGAUACGACGACCCAGAGAUCUAAAAAGUAAAAACACACCUAGAGGGGGGUGAAUAAGUGUAAAUAAUAAAAUAACCAACUGGAUGCAAUAUAAACCAUAUGUGGAAAAAAUAAAGCCAACAAACCGAGGUUUUUACAUAGAAAACUCCAAGUGGAGUAAAAAACUACAUGACUGAUCACACAAAAAAUCCACUAAGGAAAAAUAGAGUAUAAGGUGAUUUACCGAAACCUUGACUCAACCUUUACCAUAGACUUGAAGUAGAUUUUCUUUGCUGGUCCCUAAUCGAUUGAACUCCUUCAAUCAAUGACGUUACUACUCCUCGCAGCAUCAAAGCCUCGAAUCCACGAGCGUUCACUGAAUCCUCGACCUCACACAAGUCCAUGCACAACUUCUCAUUUCGGAGCAAGUAGAACAAUAGUUAGUGGUGAUUUUCAUGCUUAGAAAUUCAUAAGAUAUGAGGGAAAACCUUAUAAGAAUAAUCAAUUUGAUUCUUAAUAGAAUAUCUGGAUUAAAGCUCCAAAAAUCAAAUUGAUGAGACAAAAAAAGAAACUUGUUCUCGAAAGAUGAAAAAAAAAAGCACCAAAACAAGUUUCUAUGGUUUCCGAGAGGUAUUCUAUCUUAGCUACGUUCCGGAGACACUCCCUAUUUAGAUGCUUAGAAUCAUAUUAGAAUUGAAAAUACGUUUUCGAAAAAUUCAUGAUGGGUUCAGAGUCCGGACCCUUCAUCAAUGUCUGGACUUUAAUACUUUCAAAGCAUCAAAGUCCAAAUCUUCCCCUCAAAGUCCAACCCUGCGUUAUAGCCAAGAAGGCUUACGAGGUCUAGACCCCGCCUUAAAGUCCGGACCCUGAAACUUGAAAAACUUCAGUUUUGUUCCGUAAUAAGUUUCAGACCUAUUCUAAUAUUUUUCAAACACUUAGAAAUAAUGCGUAAAUCAUCAUUAAUAUGUAAUCAUACCUCGGAGGCGUGAGCUCCAUAAACGAGUUUUUGAUCUUGAUGUCUUCUUCUUCAACCCUUCAAGACUCUAUAUGACUCCACGAAAUACGCCAACAUAAAAUCCGCAAUACCAACACUGCUGGUUGGUUUUCAAAGUGCACGAUUUUCGGUAACGAGUCCAAACCCUAACUUUUUAUAUAAAUUAAUGCUAUUAGAUUAAUGCAACUUUAGAGGUUUUUGUGCAAAUUGGUCAUGUGGGUUACUUCGAGUAGCGUGAACCCACAAUAUUUGACUUCUGGACUGAUCGUCCUAAGUCCGAUGAUCUGUAUGAAGCAUAUUUAGGGUUUUGGAGCAUUUAUCGGCAAAAACAAGAUCAUGGUUUCAGUUCAGGUUUUGCAUUUAAUCAACGUGAAUCCCUGGUAUUUUUCGCUGUGCCUUGUUGGUUGGUUGCCCUUGCUGUCUCAUGUGUCAGGAGACAACGAGUGGGCGGCGGAAGGUUCCGGAACCGAAAUUGGCAUUUUCAAAAACCCGAUACGGCUUAGUUUUCAUUAAACGCACUUGUUAGCGUAGUGUUCAUGUGUUUGCUGCCUAGACACCCAAAUCAGUACGUUUUAGGGCACUGGGUGAUGUACCAUAUGGAUUGGUACUUUAUAGGGCACUUUGUAGGUUUUGGAAGUGUUACAAUGAGUUUCCAAGAAAUUCCAGCGGGUUUUGGGAAUCGGUAAAAAGAACUGGUUGCUUGAUGGCUUCGAGAAUGUGAGAUUAGUGACUUUGGAUCACUUAUUAGGGUUUGUCCUAUUUAGUGGAUUAGUUUGUGACACCAUGGAUCUUUUGAAGGUACAGUCGAUGGUAAGGAGCACCUUAGGAGUUAGGUGCCUCGUAUGAUUCAGAUGGAUGCUCGAUCCAAAGUCGGUAUAGUGGUGCUAGUUUAGUGACAUUCUUUUUCUUUCUCUUUAUACUUGAUUACACACAUUGCAUGUUGAGCACGUGAUUACCACUUGACUUCACUUCUCCUUGCUCUAUUUUUAUAUAUUUAUCAUGACUUAGCAAUAGAGCAGUAUUUCAUUGGAUGUCAUUACAUGACUUGAUACAUAUAUAAUUGACCUGCUUAGUCGGUAUGAUGUGAGAUCUAUGAGAUUGGAUGACCUAAUUAGUCGUUGUAUUCCUUUUGGAUCCUGUCUCGGUUAGUUGCCUAUGGUUGGUUAUUGAUCAUAUUGCAUCCAUUAACAUAGCUCAUGUGCAUUUCACUUUGGCCGCCGCAAUAGUAUUCUCUUUCGAAAAAAUGGUCGUACUUUCAACCCAUAAACCCUAUAUAUACGACCUACUACUAGGACCAUAUGCCAAAUAUGGCAGGACGUGGCAUUGCCUAAGGGUAUCAGACCAACAUGGCAAGUGAUUGGGUAUUCUAGGACUUUUCAUUCGAUUGAUGCAUACUCUUUUUGUUUACAGUAGCGGUAGUUGUACACUCGUUAUUCAUUUCCUUUCAGUUCAUAUUUGCUACUGUAUUCAUCAUAGUUUCAUACCAUGCUAUACUAUUUUUCGUUUGCCCAUGAGUACAGCUUGCUAUUGUCGGCUUAUGGUACCUAUUGAAAAACCUCAAGUUGGUUUAUCAACCCAUGUUUUUAUAGGUGACACAGGCAAUGAUAGUCGGAACGGUGCAUGAGGUUCAUGUAGCUAGUGAGCCUAGUGGUCCUGUGGAUUGAUCAUUUUCUUGCUACGGUUUAUGAUUCUUUGUUAUCCCAGUUAUUCAUUAAUAAUUCAGAUACUGUGGUGAUUCAGUUUAUAUUUGAAUGGUUAUUUUGAAGUAAUAAACUGUGGAUUUAUGCUUAGGUGCAUGACAGGGCAUGCAUCAUUUUCACUAAGGACUGCUUAGUUGUAUGUGCAUUUAGCCUGUUUUGAAUGUUGGGUGGUAAGUGGAUUUGUUUGGUUGUGGAACGUAACAGGUAGAUAUGCCGUGCAAAUAUAGAGCAGACUCUAUCCGUUGGGAUAUAGAAAUUUCUGUAUUUGUGAAGGGUCUGUCCACCCCGUGGUAUAUAAGGUUGUGUUUUUUUUAAAGAAAGAUGGACAUUUUUUCAUUGGCGUUACUUUCCAAGUUUAACCUUUUUCUGAAAAAGCUUUACAGAAACGUCCCCGGAGCGCGACAUUGUCACAGGGCAAGGAGUUGGACCUAUUUUAGCCAAUAAUAAAUAGGCAACAAGCCCCCGCAAUACUCUAUUAAUGCUACUUGCAAGAAUCAAAUCUGUGCCACUGGCUCUGAUAUCGCUUGUGAAUCAUAAGCACUAACCACAAUUUCGAAAGCACGUGUGACAGGAAGGACACAUCCAUCGCACUUAAGAGCUCAACUAUAGCGCUUACGAAUUUCGACCUGACUUAAUCCAUCUGAAUGCUAGAUCUAUUAUUAGGUCUUUUGCCGCUAGAUCUAUUAUGGACCACAACCUCACACAAUUUAUUGGGCCCAUCCAACUCAAAUUUCUAAUCUUCUAGGCCUGUUGUUACGGUGCAGAAAGUUGAAUCUAUUUUAGACAAUAAUAAGUACGUAACCAACAACAGAACAGAGACUGGUGGGUCCCUACUAGAAUUAUUUAGCAUGUGGUACAGGCACUUAUUGACAUGCCUAGCUAAUUUAAUAGCUGGUCCCCAUCUAAAUGGUUUGGGGCCAAAUCAUGUGCCUUUCAAACAACAGGAGAAGUAAAAAAUGGGUUAUUAUUGAAUUGAUUAAUUAAAACCUAAUCCAUCAGUUUAAUUAUUUUCUUAAUUCUAGAAUAUUAUGUCGAAAUGAGUCAUAAGUUGUUACCACAAACUUCUUAUUUAAUAGAUCUCCUUCUACAAAACUAGAACCAGUAUAUGAAAUAUUCCUUUCAAACCAAGAUUUAUUGAUCUAUAUAUAUUUUUAGGUAGAAGAAAUGUACGGAAAUUAGCCACCCUCAACUAUUAGCAAUUCUGUAAAAGAGCCCUCAACUAUUUUUUUGAUAUAGAAAUUCCUCAACUUCUAUUUUUUAUUUGAAUUUUUAUACUUAGUUAAUAAAAGAUUUUGUCAAAUCUAAUGAUUUUUUUAGUUAUUAACCAUUAGCUGGUCUAGUUUUAUUUAUUAAAAAGUGAAUUUAAUGACUCAAAUAUGCAUAUUAAUUAUGCUUACUUUUAAUAAACUUGAAAAAAUUCUAAUAUUUUGACUAAAUUAUUUAAUUUUAAAAAAUAAAGGCUAAGAACAUUUCAAUAAAAGAAAAUAAAAUUGAGGGGGCAAUUCCAAGAUGGCUUAUAAUUGAGGGCUCUACGCUAAUUUUUAUGAUAAUUUCGAGACCUAAAAUGUAUUCUUCAAGCCUGAAAUUACAAGUGAUUAAAAUUAAUGACUAAAGUGCCGCACGUCUCACAGUUCGAGUCAGAAAUUAUAAUUAAUUAAAAUUAAGGACUAAAGUAUCGCGCACCUCAUAGUUUGAGGAUCAGAAAUGUUAAUUAGCUGAACUUUUUUUUUUAUAGGGGCAAUUGCUUAUUUAUUCCUAAAAAAUUUCAAACUUUUCUAUUUACUCCUCUUAAUUAAUAUAAAAAAUAUUCUUUUAACGUUUUAAGCUAUUUUAAAUAUGCCUUACAGUUAGAUUCUACAAGUAAACUAAUAGAAACAGUCAUUAUUUUUAUAAAAUUACUAUUUUGACCAUUCAAAUAUAUCCUUAUAUCGUCACCAACUUUUCUUAUGUGCCCUUAGGUACUGUAAUUUUUUGUCAACUCUGAUAGAAAUUUAAUCCGAAUUUAAUGUAAUAAUAUAAUUUAAUAGGUACUAAUAGUAAAAUUAUUUUUAAAUAACGGAGAUAUAUGUGGUAUAUAUAUUUAAAAUAAACAUAUAUAUAGAAAUACAUAAAAUAUUUUAAAAAUUUUUAGACGUAUAAAGAUUGUACCUUUUUUAAAGUAAUUUUUUGAAUGUCGGAAUUAAAUACUCCUUUCAAACAGGAGAUUAAUCAUAUCUACAUUUUUAUUUGACAAAAAAACAAAAAACACAACCGUAGAAAAUUCAUUGGUGGAAGAGUCAUCCCAACAUGCGACGACACAUGUUGCGACUUUUUUUUUUUUUUUUCCACAUGAUGUGAUGACUCAACUUUUUGUCCCUUUUUUUAAAAAAAAGUAAUCCAACCUUAUCUCGAAUUAUUUUAGAUCCAAAGCCGCUGAAGCCGGCCGGCCUUUUCAUAGUAUUAAAAAGAAAAAACCAAGAGCUGUCAGACUAAAAUAUAGAAUAGUUUGCUUUCGGCCGUAUUCAGAUAAUUUGGAUUUGAUAAAAAUUCGGUACAGAUAUAAUAAAUAUAAAAUUUAUUUUUAAUUUUUAAAUUUGUUGAAAAAUUUGGCUUAAAAAACGGAUUCGAUAAUUAUUCGGAUAUGUGAUUUGUAUGAAAAUUGUACGUUCAUCAAUUAAAAAUUCGGAAUAAAAAAUUCGCCUAUUAAAUUUGAAUUUUUUUUCUAGAUUUAUACUACUAUCGUAAACAGUUAUAAUUCUUAAAAAUAAAAAGCUAUAAAAUAAAGUAGAUUAAUCCAUUAAUAAUUGUAAAAUAUAUAUAUAAAUAUUUUUUUUGGGAGGCGAAUGAAGAGAGAACUCAUAUUUAAAUAUAAAAUAUAAGAUAAUCUAUAUUUAAACAUAAAAAUUAUAAGUUUUUUAUUCAGAUUUUUAAUAAUUCGCGAAUUAUUCGGCUGGCCCAAAAAUUCGCGAAUAAUUUUCUUUCUUUGGAAAAAAUUCGUAGACAAACCGUUUAAUUCGGAUCUUCAAUAAUUCGCGAAUAAUUCACAAAUUAAAUAACAAAGCUUUUAGCUACCAUAUUAUCAUGUCAGGUGUUAAUCUGUCUCUCGAUUGGAGCUAAAAUGUAGCACGUACUGGUAUAUUUGCGACGCCCCACUUCUAAGGGGUUAUCUAUUUUAGGAUCCUAACAAAUUUAACUCUUUUAAUCUCUUGGUCCUAACCACCACCCAAAAUACUAUAAUCGGGUUAAAAGUUUUUAGCCCUAUUAUAUUCUAUAUAUAAGAUUAUUUGGGGUCUUACACUCUCCCACCUUUUAAGCCUUAACGUUCCUGUCAGGUUCAAACUCACAAGUAUUAGACGAUAUAAAACUCGUCUCGUUAGUCUUAACCGACCUUGUGGGGAAGCCGCACUCUGCCUACAGCAAUCGUCAGCAUAAGAGUCUCGCUCUCUCUGCUGUUUAAUCUGGCUCAAUUGAGAUUCAUUUUACACUUUCGGAUAGUAAUUUUCUUUGAUACCAACUGUGACGUCCCACUUCCCAGAGGAUUACUUAUCAUAGCACUACUCUAGUCCUAGCACGUUUAAUUUUCUUACUCUCUUGGAUCUAUCUGCCUCCCAAAAUGCUCUAGUCGGGUUAAGAGUUUUUAACCCUAUUAUAUCUUAUAUAUAGGACUAUCUGGUGUCUCAUAAUUUUUAUGUCGUACAUCUUUGCUUCCCGGUUAGAGCUUUCACCCACCACGCCGUAGGGCGUUGGAAGCUCAGAUAUAGCAAUCGACGAAAUAGAUAUGUAGUAUCAAUUUUGUCCAACUUCUAAUUAACCCAGCUUCUCCCGUGAUAAAAGUUCUACUAAAAAUGGCCAUGUUUGUUAACACGGUGAGUAAAAAUACUAGUUUUAUAUUAUGAAAGUCCUAAAGAAUUUUAAAAAAAAAUUGUUAUUUAUAGGAUUGUACAUCUAACACACUUAGAUUCAAAGGUUCACCAAACUUUUUUGAGAUUUUACUAAAAGUAAAUAAAUAUAUUAUAAGACAAGUGAUUAGAUCCACCACAAAAAGGAUGGAUGUAAACUUUACACCUAUGUUAUAGUUGUACCGAUAGUAUUAUUCAAAAUUUUAGAAUAGUGCUUUUAGUCAUUGUAAUACAAAACGUACUACAAUAGAAUUAGAUUAUAGGGACACAUUUUUAAGACACAUUUAUGUAAGUGUCCCAUCUAUUCCAGAACUUUUUCAAAAAUCUAUUAAGGCCUAAAUAUAAAGCUCAAUUCAAUAAAAAAUAAAAAAAUUUUCUACUCAAUCAACCCCACCCAGCCCACUUGGCUAGAUUAAAAAAAAAAAAAAAAAAAAAAUUGAUCACCAUCUCCUCUUUUCCUCUUCUGCCGCCUCAGCCGACGAGGUAGGGUUCCGGCGGCUAGAGUUCGGUCGCGAGGAUCUUGCAAGGUACGUAGAGGGCUACGGUCAUCACGUGUCCCUCCGCCAUAGGUCGCUAGAGGACUGGACGCCAAACAUUAAUGCAGCCCCACAUAUAGCGACCCCACUGUUACACCUGUCAAGUAGUAAAGGAGGAUUAGGAGCAGUAGUAGGAGGUUUAGCUAGAAUAAUGAGAGGAGAGGAGGCUUAGCUUUUCUCUGCUUCAGGUCUCCGGUUGGGGGAAGCGUCGGCCGUUAGCUUGGGAGUGUGGAGAGCGUCGGUGGGGUGAAGGUCGCCGGUGGAGGAGAAAAGGGGUGAGAGAAGCGGGGAGCGAAGAGGUUGAUCCGAGCAAGCCGACAAAGGACUUAGAGCGUUUGACGAGUCGACUCAAGUUCCAGACGGUUCUGGCGGAUUCGGGCGUAUGGCGGAUUCGGGCACAAGGAUGGGAGCGACUGAUCCAAUAUGUCUUGGGAGCGGGCCGAGGAAUAAGCCCAUGUGGGAAUUUGGGCAGCAGAUAGUAGGUUUAGGGAGUUCAAUUAGAAUUAGGGUUUGCUUUAGGUGAAUAAAAAGGGCAGCGUGUAACAGAAGGUUUUUUUGAUGCGAAUUAAUGAAAUUUUCUUCUUCCUCAUCAACUCCUAAUUUCUCUUAAUCUUUCUUCUUCUUCUUAAUUUCCCCAUCCAUCUCCUUCCCUCUGUCUUCCCCCCUCUAUUCUCUCUUCAUCUUCUUUAUCGGAAUAGCUCAAUUCUGAUCUGAUUAAUCCGAGUCAGGCAGUUACGGGAACCAUCAUCCUCGACGCCGUCCUUCGUCUCAGCGAGAUUUCAUCAUCGACGGGUUGCGCCGAGUCAGGUAUGUAACAAUUGGUAUCAGAGCGGUACGAUCUCAGGGCGUUGUGUGGUGAAUUCGCUUCCUAACUCCAAUCAAGUAUUGUCGAGUUUAAUAGCGAGGGGAUUUCUGCGCUGCCAAAUCUGAUACGAGAUCGGGUUUGGACAAAAGAAACCACCACAGUAACAUCCCUGAACUGUAUCACGCUCUGACCGCUUUUAAUCAUCCUCGGAUAUUAGCAAGAUUGGGGGCAAACGAGGCAACAAGUUUCGAUUUAACCCAAAAGAAUAUCUGGAUGAGAUAGAGAUGGCUGAGGGGACUAGGUUGAGAGACCUGAGUGAUCAUAUACGUACGCUAGAAGAGCAGUUCCAAAAAUUGGGAGCUGAGCAUCAAGCCGAGAUUGAGGUAAUCAACCAUCAGAUUGCCGAAGUCAAGGAGUCCGGGCAGAGGCAAUAUGAAGCGAUACAGGUCGAGGCAAAUAAAAGGCACGAGGAGCUGCUCAAGCUGUUCGCAGCUCAGCCACCUCCACUCAAGAACCAGGCACCGGUAAGCCCACUGGAAGGGAAGCCUCCACAUGCGGCAACCCUGGGAUCAGUAGAACACCAUUAAUUACCAGAGCAGAUAAAGGCAAAGGGAUUCUACCAACGCCACCAAGACAAACAGAGGAGGAAGAGAGUCAGAGCUCACCAUGGGUCAACAAGCAUAAUCAUUAUCAGUUACCUUACUCGAAGCUGGAUUUCCCCUUUUUUAACGGAGACGACCCUCGAAGUUGGAUCGAGAAUUGCGAGCAAUAUUUUGAAUUAUAUCAAAUACCCCAGCAUCAGUGGUUAAGUGUGGCAACCCUACACUUGAUCGGCAAGGCAAGGACAUGGAAACAAGGGUAUUUUAUCAACAAACAACUCGUUUCUUGGGACGAGUUCACUAAGGCCAUAUGUAGAAAAUUUUCGCAAGCGGGCGAGAGGUAUUUAAUUCGAGAAUUUAGUAACUUGAAGCAUACGGGGACUUGUGAAAAGUACCAAGAAAGGUUCGAGGAGUUGAGGUUCCAACUGCUCCAUUACAAUCCUCAUUUAUCGGAAGAAUAUUUUAUUGCUUGCUAUAUUAAUGGACUGAAGAAGAGUUAGUUCCGUUUCUCGACAUUGCUCACCCGAACACACUAGAGGAAGCAUAUGAGCAACCGCAGUUACAUGAGAAGGCCAUUGCUGUGAUCAAUCGGAAGAAUAGAUAUAUUCCCAAGACCUAUCAAUCCAACUCGCUGUAUAAGAGUUCGGAGGGGAGCAAGUAGCCAACCCAAAGUCAGAACAAGACUCCGGUAAAUCCCUAUCCGAUCAACAAAUAAUUAAUUGAACAACGUCGAGCCGCUGGGUUAUGCUUUCGGUGCGGCGACAAAUACCAUCCGGGACACGUGUGUUCCAACAAAUCGUUAAACAUCCUACAAGCUACUAACAAUAUUAUGGAGGUUUAUGAUGAAGAAUGUUUACAAACAGGACAAAGCGAAGGGGCAGCCAAUGGAAGAGAAGGCAAGGAAACUGAAAUCAUACCUGGGGAAGAGGAGCAGCAGGAAAUAGAGGUAUCAGUGCGUGCCUUAAGUGGAGAAAUACCCCAAGAGACCAUUAAGAUAAGGGGUGAAACCAACAAUCGGACUCUUACCAUCUUGAUAGACACAGGAAGCACUCACAGUUUCAUCGACCUGCUAGCAGCCCAGUGUAACGCACUGGACCUUGCAAAUUGUAGGGUUCGAGUGAUUGAGUGUAUUCUGAACUUUUCCAGACUUUCUGGUAGGUCGUUGACUGUGUUCCGACCUAUGGUUCGAGUCCCGAGAAUUGUGGUUUAAAACCUUGCAUCAAAAUCUAAAAAGUUGGAUUUUUGGUCAGCUCUCGGAUAGCCUUCAGCAGGCCGUGUACCGGUACGGGUUCGCUUGCUGUACCGGUACGGGUUCGCUUGCUGUACCGGUACGAGGUUGAUGGCUGUACCGGUACGGGCCCGCGUACCGGUAAACAGGCAGUUUUUCGGCCAAACCCGAGGCUCGGGUUUGCGUUUUCGUGGGUUGUGUACCGGUACACAAACCGGUGUACCGGUACGUAGUGCAGUUUGGGGCUGUUUCGUGGAGGGGUGUUUUUGCAAUUGUUACAACACCUUUAUAUACCACCCCAGCCCCCUUGGCUGCUCUCCUUGAGCUCCAAACAGAGAGAAACAAGGUGAGUCUUCCCCUCUUGGUUUGAUCUCCAUUUUUUGGUGAUUUUUAUGGGUUUUGAUCUUUUUCCCUUCUCUCCUUCUUGCUUUUGUGGGUUUUUUCACCAUUGGAGAAGCUUGGGAUCUUGGUUGGAGCUUGUUUGGAGAUCAACCUUCAACCCUAGAGGACUUGGAGCUUGGUUUUGAGCAUCUUGUGAGGUUAGUAAACUUAAUCUCCCAUUUGGAUUAAGUUUUGAAGGUUUCUUUUGAAUGAAACCCUAGAUUUUGGAUUCUAGGGCUAGAAUUGGGGAUUUUUGAUUUGUAGCUUCUAGAACCAAAUUGAUUGGUUUAGAACUUUGAUUUAGGUUGGAUUUGAAGGAAUCUAACUCCCUUUUGGAGUUCGUGGGGGAUUCCUUAGCGUUCGGUGAGUUUUCUCCAACCUAGCUAGAGAAGCUUAAUGUUUGAGCUUAGCUUUGUUCGUAAGCCUUGUUUGACACUUGUUCCUACAUCCCUAGGGUACUAGGAGACUAGAAGACACCCUCGUUGGAGCAAACGAGGAGUUCCGUUGUCAACUGUGGGUUUGGCUUCUUUGACAUAGGGGGAAAAUGCCCCCUACGUGGUUAAACGUUUUCGUAUACCAUAAAUGCAUGCAUAUUUAUGUUGAGUAGAAUUAUUAUGAAUUUUUGGAUGCUUAAAACGCCACCAUUAUGUGUAAUGAAAAUUUCACUCUAUGUAGUAGAGCCAUGUGAAUGACAUACAUGCAUGAGCUAUGUAAUCUGUAAUUGCAACUUGGAAAUAUGUCUCUUAUGUGGGGAAAUGACUAGAAUCAUGCAAUCUUAAGCAUAAUUGCCAUGUUAUGACUUAGUGAGCAAAAGUGUCAUAAAGGGGAACUUGAACUAGAAAACGGUUGAAACUGCAACUUAGAGACAUAAUGUUAAGCCAUUGUACAUCUGCUAUAUACUCCAUGUAGAGACAUGAUGACAUAGAGAUAGACCUUUGGGACAUUCGAUACAUUCCAUGUUAUUAGACAUGAGAACUGGGUACUUGUGACAGGACAUAUGACUACUUGCUAUUGUGCUCAUUCGCACAUGCUUGUGAGGGUCGCUCCCUACAAGUCGGCACUCCGGAGAUGACCAUCGCGAUUUAUAUUCGCCGUGCGGGAUUCGGCGCCAAAGUGGAUUGCCGUGAGCCAGGCUCAUUCCUAGGGUGGGGAUGAUGACUACCACGGGGCCACUAGGCUCGGCAUCGGCCAGACAGCCUACGGGUGGGUCUCAGGGCCAUAGACAGUCUUCGGGUGGGUCUCUUCGGAUUUGACUUUGAGUAUCCACUAUGACAUGUGGACAGAUGAUGACUUAGUAUAUUGACUGGACAUCGACUAGAAUAGUAAACAACGACAUCUUUACUAAUUGCAUUGAGGACAUCGCAUUGGUUGCAUACCUAUGGGUAUUCAUGUAUACACAUCCAUGUACAUUUAUGUUAUAGUUGCUUACUAUUAUGCCUAUCAUGCUAAGUAGAGACAUCUGGUUAUAGUAAGUUAUACUUUUACUUACCUUUCGCUUUAUUGCUUUUAUAGCUACUUACCACUUUCUUUGUAGCUUUGGGCCUUGUGGUGCAUUCACUGAAGUCAGUAAUUGCCCACUGGGAACUAUUUUUAAUAGUUCUCACGCCUUCUUUUUUGUGGUUUCUUUCAGAGCCUUCUGCACCGGCGGAGGCACGGGAUCGCGGCAAGGGGAUCGCAUAACUAGCUAGCGAGGAGCGGUUCUUUGCCUAGAUGGUUUGCUUUUUCUUUUUGUAGUUGAGAGAGUGAGAGAUUUUGUAUCCAUGUAUAGAGACCACCUAUGUAUCUACUUUUAGCACUUGUAUUUGGAAUUUUCUUUGUAUUACUUUAUGCUUUUAUUAGUGGAUUCCAGCUUUAUGCUCUUUUCUCUAUUGUAGAACUUAGUAUUAUAUCAUGCUCUGAUACUCCUAGUUGUCUUUUAUUACCGCUUUAUUUAUUGUUGUUUUUAGACGCCUUAUAUGUUUUAGACGUAUGGCGGGUCUGGGCACGCGCUGGGCGGGCUUCCGCUGGGUCCCGGGGCGUGACACCCAGGAGGUAGGAGCACGGAUGGAAGUAGCUCUACCCCUGAUAGUGACAGUAGCAAACGGGCACAAGGUUUUGAGCAAAUUAAGAUGCCCUGGAUUCACUUGGACUAUGCAGGGACAAACUUUUCGAACGGACUUGAGAGUGAUCAGGAUCGAAGGCUCUAACAUGGUACUUGGAAUUGAUUGGUUAAAGUCUUAUGGAGUGGUGACUUUCGAUUUCGUAUCCAACUCGGUGGCGAUCAGUAAAGAUGGACAGAAGUUAGAGCUAAAGGGGAUUGCGGAAGGGGCUAGAUUAAGUCUAAUAUCUGCAGCUCAGUGGAGGCAAGAAGCAGAGAAAGGAGAAUGUUAUCUCCGCAGGCACCAAUCAACACCAAAAGAUAAUGAACAGGAUGCUGACCUACUUCCGGAGAUCCAAAGGGUGCUGGAUAAAUUUCAGGAUGUGUUCGAGGAGCCAAGGGAGUUACCUCCAAUCCGCAUUCAAGACCAUAAAAUUCCUCUACAGUCUAACACAGCUCCGAUUAACGUUAGGCCCUAUCGGUACUCGCAUGAUCAAAAAGAGGAGAUCGAAAAACAAAUAAAGGAGUUAUUGAGCCACAAGAUUAUUCAGCGGAGCAAUAGUCCUUUCGCCUCACCCGCUUUAUUGGUUAAGAAAAAAGAUGGGAGUUGGAGAAUGUGUAUAGAUUAUCGCCAGCUUAACAAAUGCACGGUGAAGGACAAAUUCCUUAUACCAAUUAUAGAUGACUUGCUUGAUGAAUUGGGCGGAUCGAAGUAUUUUUCCAAGAUAGAUCUCAGAUCGGCAUAUCAUCAGAUCCGGAUGAAUCCGGGGGACAUUCAUAAAACGGCAUUCCGGACGCAUCAAGGGCAUUAUGAGUUUCGAGUCAUGCCGUCCGGCCUAACGAACGCACCCGCGACGUUUCAAGCCGUAAUGAACUAUACCUUCGAGUCAUACUUGAGGAAAUUCAUCCUGGUUUUCUUUGAUGACAUUCUAAUCUACAGUAAGAACAUUGAGGAUCAUGAACAACAUCUGCGCAUCGCUUUGGAAGAAUUGAGAAAGAAUAAAUUUUACGCCAAACGAAGUAAGUGCUAUUUUGGGCAGAACCAGGUGGAGUAUUUAAGUCACAUAAUAUCUGACGAAGGGGUAGCCACCGAUCCAUCCAAAAUUGAAGCGAUGAUUAAUUGGCCGGUACCAAAAUCUAUGAAGGAAUUGCGUGGAUUCUUUGGACUUACCGGAUAUUAUCGAAAAUGCAUAAAGGGAUAUGGAAAGAUUACCAAGCCUUUGACUGAGUUGUUGAGAAAGGAUCAGUUCGACUAGAAGGAAGAAGCACAAGUAGCUUUUGAAGAAUUAAAGUUGGCUAUGACAAUGGCUCCAGUACUCGCUAUGCCUAACUUUGGUGAACCCUUCACGAUAGAAGCGGAUGCUUGCGGCAUAGGGAUAGGGGCAGUACUGUCCCAAGGAGGAAGACCCAUUGCCUAUUUGAGCAAGGCUAUUAGCGGGAAGCACCUGGGAUUAUCAACUUACGAAAAAGAGUUCUUAGCGAUACUCAUGGCGGUUCAAAAGUGGAAGCAUUAUUUAGGUACAGGUACAUUUGUGAUUAAAACAGAUCAUGAAAGCCUAAAACACCUACUCGAGCAAAGGAUAUCCACCCCGAUGCAGCAGAAGGGCAUGCUUAAGAUGAUGGGGCUUAAUUACACGAUUCAGUAUAGGAGGGGUAGAGAAAAUGCGGCAGCCGAUGCACUAUCCAGAAGAGAAGAAGGGGGAGUUGUAUUGGCAAUCUCAGCGGCAGUACCAACUUGGGUACGACAGGUGGCGGAAAGUUACAAGGGGGAUCCAUAUUGUGAGGGGAUAAUAAAAGAGCUAACGUUGCGGCCAGACACCCCAGGAUAUUACUCCUAUGGCAAUGAGUUGCUACGCUACAAAGGGAGGCUCUAUGUUGGGCAGACUGGACCUAUACGGAAGAAAGUUUUAGAUCAAAUGCAUAAUUCUGCCUUGGGAGGCCACUCCAGAAUCCAGAACACCUAUAGGAGAGUUAAGCAACAUUUUUUUUGGCAAGGAUUAAAAAAGGAUGUGGAAGAUUGGGUCAAGGGGUGCACUGUUUGUGCUCAGAACAAAGUGGAUGGAACACCAUACAGUGGAUUGUUGCAGCCGUUGCCUAUUCCUCACCAAAUUUGGGAGGACGUAAGUUUGGAUUUCAUUGAAUCAUUACCUAAGUCAGAGGGGCGCGAUACAAUAAUGGUUGUAGUUGACCGGCUCACCAAAUAUGCUCAUUUCAUAUCUCUUAAACAUCCCUUUUCAGCAUCGGAUGUUGCUAAGGCCUUUAUGGGAACCAUCUAUAAACUGCACGAUUGUCCCAAGAGUAUCGUUUCCGAUAGAGACAAGAUAUUCGUGAGUCAGUUUUGGAAGAAGCUUUUCCAAUCCAUAGGAACCAAACUGCACAUGAGUUCGGCGUAUCAUCCGGAAACUGACGGGCAAACGGAGAGGGUCAACAGGUGCUUGGAAACCUAUUUGAGGUGCUUAUGUUUUCAGCACCCAAAAAAGUGGCAUUCUUGGUUAGCGCUAGCCGAAUGGUAGUAUAAUACAAACUUACACUCGUCAUUGGGAAUAACCCCAUACGAGGCGUUAUAUGGGCAACCUCCGCCAAAUUACCUGGUGGCCGCUGUGGAUACAGCUACCUCGCAGGAGUUUAAAGGGUGGGCUACAGAGAGAAAGAAGCUGACUAGAGAAUUAAGGGAUCGAUUGCAAAUAGCACAGAGCAGGAUGAAGCAACAGGCAGACAAGCAUAGGGUGGAGAAGGAGUACUCGGUGGGAGAUUGGGUUUACCUUAAACUACAGCCCUAUCGGCAAACCACGGUGGUGAUAAGGAAAAAUAUUAAGCUUUCUUCAUGAUUUUUUGGUCCCUUUAAGAUACUGGAGCGUAUCGGGCCAGUCGCGUAUAGGCUAGAGUUACCAGAAGGGUCAAGGAUUGACCCGGUGUUCCAUGUUUCUCUGUUGAAGAAGAGUCCCCCAUCUUCAAUUCAGGCAUCUCUGACGGCACCAUCUAUCGGGGAAGAGGAUAAGUUGCGGGUCGAACCAGAGGAAAUACUUGAGAGGCGGACGGUGACGCGCGGAAACAUGGCCGCGACCGAAGUUUUGGUGAAAUGGGCAAAUCUUCCAAGGGAGCUCGCAACAUGGGAAGAUCGUGGGUUCCUCAAAAGCCAAUAUCCAUCUUUUGAUCCUUGAGGACAAGGAUCGACUUAAGUAGGGGGGAUUGUUACACUUGUCAAGUAGUAAAGGAGGAUUAGGAGCAGUAGUAGGAGGUUUAGCUAAAAUAAUGAGAAGAAAGGAGGCUUAGCUUUUCUCUGCUUCAGGUCUCCGGUUGGGGGAAGCGUCGGCCGUCAGCUUGGGAGCGUGGAGGGCGUCGGUAGGGUGAAGGUCGCCGGUGGAGGAGAAAAGGGGUGAGAGAAGCGGGGAGCGAAGAGGUCGAUCCGAGCAAGCCGACAAGGGACUUAGAGCGUUCGACGAGGCGACUCAAGUUCCAGACGGUUCUGGCGGAUUCGGGCGUAUGGCGGAUUCGGGCACAAGGAUGGGAGCGACUGAUCCAAUAUGUCUUGGGAGCGGGCCGGAGAAUAAGCCCAUGUGGGAAUUUGGGCAGCAGAUAGUAGGUUUAGGGAGUUCAAUUAGAAUUAGGGUUUGUUUUAGGUGAAUAAAAGGGGCAGCGUGUAACAGAAGGUUUUUUUUAUGCGAAUUAAUGAAAUUUUCUUCUUCCUCAUCAACUCCUAAUUUCUCUUAAUCUUUCUUCUUCUUCUUAAUUUCCCCAUUCAUCUCCUUCCCUCUGUCUUCCCCCCUCUAUUCUCUCUUCAUCUUCUUUAUUAGAAUAGCUCGAUUCUGAUCUGAUUAAUCCGAGUCAGGCAGUUACGGGAACCAUCAUCCUUGACGCCGUCCUUCGUCUCAGCGAGAUUUCAUCAUCGACGGGUUGCGCCGAGUCAGGUACGUAACACCCACAUAUAGCGACACUUUCAUAUAGUGUCGCUAAUUUAGCCAGCAACACUUUUUUUUAUCUGUACCUAUAUUUAAAAGUGUCGCUAUAUAAUAUUUUUGUUAUAGUGACGCGACCGCAAACAGUACUUUUACUAAAUUAAUUUUCAAACCAAAUUAAGCAUGCCCGCUAACUUGCCACUCCUUUUUUGCCCUAUUUAUACAUCCCUAUGUAGCGUGGACAUAUCACACACUCACACACACCCUCCCUCAAUAUUAGCUAAAGAGAUUUAUAACUAAAGGUGUCUGUGGACCGAGUCGGGUCGGGAUAGUUAAUAUACUAUAUCCGUACCCUAAAAAAAAUUGGUUAGAAAAAAAAAUAUAUAUAUAUACCCUAUCCAUUUAACUUCAGGUCGGAUCCGGAUCUGGAUAUUUAAGUUACUAAUAUACCCGUCGGGUCUAUUUGGGCGGAUCUAGGUAGUGACUACCCUCCGUAUACUAUCCCUUUAAGAUCGGGUACUGGUCGGAUCUAAAUCGGGUACGGGUACCCGUAUACAUAUAUUUUUUUAUAAACUUUAUUAAAUAGUAUGUGGACAAACUAUAAAUCUUUCCUUAUAAAGAGAAUAUAAGUUAUAAUAAUUAUUAAUAUUACAUACUAACAUUAAAAACAAUAAAAAAAUAAAGAAGAAUUUGAAAAUUUACUAAAUAGAAUAUUCAUUAGAAAAAACUAAGUUGUCGACUUUGAUUGGAAAAGGAAUUUGGAAAAAACUUACUUGUGCAAUGCCUAUGAGGAGUAAUAUCGCUAAUGAUGAUAACGAUGUAAAUAUUAGUUCAUAAAAAACUCAUAGGCGAAAAUGAAACAAAAAAAAUAAUAAGUAAGAAAUAAAGAGUAAAAAAAAAAAAGAAAAAAAAAGGAGUAAAAGAGCGGCUAAUGUUUCAUUGUUUCACUAAGAUGAAAAUUUUUAGAAACCCUUCAUAUAUAAAUUCUAUUAAAAUUGAUCCUUCAACUUUAAAAGUUCAAAUCUUUUUUAUUUACUAUCGGAUAUUUCAUCGGGUCCGGAUCCGAGUCCGGAUUUGAAAACUAUUCCGGACCCUACCCAUUUAAAAGUUGGGUUCGGGUCGGGUCCAAAUCGGGUAUGGGUAUAAAAUAUCCAGACCUAUGCCCGAAACUUUAAUGGGUAAUUUUCUUUACCCGUAUACUAUCCAUUUUUUAUCGGGUCUGGUUCGGAUCCGGAUAGGGUCCGGAUAGGGUCCGGAUAGGAUAUGGUAUAUCGAAUAUUUUGGACAGCUUUACUUAUAACAAAGAUGUCUCACCCUCGUGCCACCGGCUUUGAUACCACAUGUGGAUAUAACCACAAUUCCAAAAACACAUGUGAUAGAAAGAACACACCCAUCACACUUAAGGGCUCAAGUAUAGCGCUUACGAAUUUCAAUCUGACUCAAUUCAUCUGAACAUUAGAUCUAUUAUUGGGUCUUUUACCGUUAGGUUUAUUGUGGACCGCAACCUCACUUAACUUAUUUAGCUCACCCAAUUCAACUUACUAAUCUUCUAAGUAUGUUGUUAUGGUACAAAAAGCUGAAUAUAUUUUAAUCAACAAUAAAUAAUCAACAGUAGGGACCGUGCGUAGUGGGUCCCUGCUAGAAUUAUUUAGCAUGUGCUACAGGCACUUACUGACAUGCCUAGCUAAUUUAAUAGCUGGUCCCCGUGUUAAUGGUUUGGGCCAAAUCAUGUGCCUUCUAAACAAUUGGAGAAGUCAAAAAUGGGUUUUUAUUGAAUUGAUUAACCAAAACCUAAUCCAUCAAUUUUUUUUCUUAAUUAUAUAUAGAAUAUUAUGUCGAAAUGAGUCAUGAGUUGUUAGCACAAACUUCUAAUUUAAUGCAAGAUGACUUAAUGGGUAUUAAAAAUAAGGUUAUUUUUGAAUAACGGAGAUAUAUCCGAAGGUAUAUUGGAAAUAAAAAAUAGGAUUAAUUACAUACAAGUUCCUAUAAAUAUAGUAAAUUGUAAAUAUAUGUACAAAAUUCAAUUUUUAUAUAUUGUCCCUACAAAAGUCCUAAUUAAUAUUUUCAAAAAUAUUCUUACUGUUAAAAUUUGUUAGAAAAUUUUAUUUAACUAUAGGUUAAAUACUUAACCCUGCUUAGUUUAUGAGAUAAUUUGACAUUUUUACUCCUUUUAUAUUAUACUGUUGUGAUGGCAAAAUUGUAAAUAUAAAUAGUUCUCUAAUGGUGACAAAUCAGAAGGUAUAUUUAAAAAUAUUAGAACUUUUGUAGGAAUAAUAUAUAAAAGUUGAAUUUUUUUAAAAUAUAUUUAUAAUUUAAUAUAUUUGGAGGGACCUGCAUGUAUUCAAGCCUAAAAAAUAUAGAAGUAUAUAAAAUAUUUUAAAAAUUUUUAGACGUAUGUAGGUAGUUAUACUUUUUUUUUAACUAAAUUUUCAAAGGUCGGAAUUAAAUACUCCUUUCAAACAGGAGAGUAAUCAAAUCUACAUUUUUAUUUGAUAAAAAAAAAACACAAUUGUAGAAAAGUCAUUGGUGGAAGAGUCAUCCCAAAACAUGCGAGUUCACAUGGUGUGAAUUCUCGAUUUUUCCACGUGAUGUUAUGAGGCUUUCAAUUUCUUUUUCACUUUUUUUUUUUAAAAAAAAAUCCAAUCCUUAUCUCGAAUUAUUUACCAUCCAAAGCCGUUGAUCGAAGCCGGCCUUUUCAUAGUCUUAAAAGGAAAAAACGAAGAGCUUUCAAACUAAAAUAUAAAAUGUUGCUUUUAGCUACCAUAUUAUCAUAUUAGGUUUUAAUAUGUCUCUAGUUAAUUUGGAGUUAAAAUGGGACACGUACUGAUAUAUUUGUGACGUCCCACUUUUCAAGAGUUCAUCCAUUCUAGCUAGAACUAUUACUGUAGUCCUAACACGCUUAAUUCUUUUAUUCAUUUCUCGAAUCUGACCAUCACUCAAAAUACUAUAAUCGGAUUAACACUAGUUUUUAACCCUAUUAUAUAUUAUAUAUAAGAUUACCUGGGGCCGACCUUUUUAAGUCCUGACGUCUCCGUCAAGCUCAAACUCACAAAUAUUAGACGAUUUGAAACUCAUAUCGCUAGUCUUAACCGACCUUGUGGGGAAACCGCACUCUGCUCAUAACAGUCAUUAGCAUGAGAGACGUCUAGCUCUUCCUGCUGUUUAAUCUGGCUCAACCGAGAUUCAUCUCGCACUUUCGGCUGGUAAUUAUUUCUGAUACCAACUGUAACGCCCCCUUCCUAUGGGAUCACCCAUUAUAGAAUUGCUCAAGUAUUAGCACGCUUAACUUUCUUAAUCUUUUAGAUCUAUCUACCAUUCAAAAUGUCAUAGGUGGGUUAAAAAUUUUAGUCCUAUUAUAUUGUAUAUAUAAAAUUGUGGAAAAACUUCAAAAAAACCCCCUGUGGUUUCAUUGUUUCUCACUUUAGUACCCUGUCGUUUAAAGUGUAUCAAUUUGCCCUCAUGUGGUUUCGUUUUUAUCUUUUCGGUAGCUUUUUCGUUAAUAUUUCAUUAAAUUAUAUACAAAAAACUUUAUAUACCCAUCUAGAUUUAUCAAGUAUUCACUUUAGUACCCUUUAAUUUUAACUUUAUCACUGAUUUAAGAAAAAAAAUAAUAAAAUUGAUAAGAAAAAGAGAAAAAAGAAACCACAGGGGGGCAAAUUGAUACAUUUUAAACAAUAGAGGGGCAAAGUGAGAAACUACGAAACCACAGAGGGGUUUUUGAAGUUUUCCUUAAAAUUAUUUGGGUUCUCACAAUUUUUAUGUUGUACAUCUUUGCUUCCUGGCCAGAGCUUUCGCUCCCCCACACAGUAGGGCGAUGAAAGCUCAGAUAUAGCGAUCGACAAAAUAGAUAUGCAGUAUCAAUUUCGUCCAACUUCUAAUUAAUCCAGCUUCUCCCGUUGAUAAAAAGAUUCAUAGUUUUUCUUGGAUUAAUUCUACAAAACUAAGAUCUUCUAGUGAAGAUCAUGACCUAGCUUUCUAAAAGUUCUACUAAGUAUGGCCUUGUUUGUUAACAAGGUGAGUAAAAAUACUAAUUAAUUUUAUAUUAUAAAGAAUUUUUUAAAAAAUGUUAUCUAUAGGAUUAUACAUCUAAUACACUUAGAUUCAAAGGUUCAUCAUACUUCUUUAAGGUUUUAGUAAAAAUAAACAAAUUAUAAGACAAGUGAACAGAUCGGCCACAAAAAGAAGAUCAGGCAUAAAUUUUACACCUAUGUUAUAGUUGUACAAGUAGUAUUAUUUAAAAUAUCAUAAAACGAUGUUUUUACCCAUCGCAUUACAAACCACGACGGUAAACAGUAUUUGUACUAAAUUUUUUGUUUUUUUUGAGAGAUGUACUAAAUUAAUUUUCAAACCAAAUAUUAAGCAUGCCCACUAACUUGCCACUGAUCCUUUUUUGCCCUAUAUAUACGUCCCUAUGUCGUGUGGCCAUCUCACACACACACACACACACACACCUCCACCUCAAUAUUAGCUAAAGAGAAUUAUAACAAAGAUGUCUCACCCUCGUUAUCUUCUACUGCCCUUGAAUUUGAUCACCAUCACCUUAGCCUUGCUCUCUCAAAGAUCUCAAGCCCAGCUGAGCCCCUCCUUCUACGACUGCACCUGCUCCGACGUGUCGGCGAUCGUUCGCAGCACGGUGCAGCAGGCGCAGACCUCCGACCCCCGCAUCUACGCCAGCCUCACUCGCCUCUUCUUCCACGAUUGCUUCGUCCAAGUAACUUUCUUUUAGUUAUAUAUAUAUGUAUUUCACUUCUUUUCCUAUUCUAAUCUCAAAAUCGAGAACUUAUAAGUUGUACAUGAAGAAACAUCGAGUUAAUGUCCUAAUUUCGACAUUAAUAUGCACCACAUAUAAGUUAGUUAGGAUAUAUAGUACUCCCCGUACUAUGCGUUUACUUUUUUUCUUUUUUUUUUUGAGAGAAAUAUAACAUGCUACCGCUUUAUUCAGUAAGAAAAUGAAUUUAGUAAUAAAGUGAAGUAUCGUGGCUUUGUAAGAGAUCGAAAAAAAAAAAAAAAUCACUAAACACAAUAAUUAAUGAUCCCAUAUAUUCUUGAGUGCGUAUACUAAACACAAUAAUGUCUAUGCGUUACUUUUUAUUUAAAUAUUUUGGUCUCUGAACUUGUAUGCAUAUUGUGCUUUCAGUGGCAAUAAUCAAGAAGUUUUAUUUUUAUGAAUUAUUAUUUUAAUCCUUUUGUAUGCCUAACUUAGUUUAGUUUGCUCUAAUCAAGAUUAUGAUGCUAUCAAUUUUACAACUAAAAUCAAAUAUGUUCUUUUUAAUAUUCAAGAAAUGAAAGUAUAGCAUGUGUGUACAGAAACUAAAGUGUGCAAAUAAUUAAUGAAGGUUAGUACCAAUUUGCAAUAUUCUACCCUAAAAUUUUUUUAGGUUACUUAUAGAAAUACUGGAUUUCUUCAUCGACAAACUUGUUUGAUCAACUUUUAGGGUUGCGACGGGUCGAUUUUGCUGGUCGAUAGUUCGACGAUUCAGAGCGAACAGGAUGCGCGACCAAACAAGAACUCGGCUCGAGGUUUCAACGUCGUCGACGACAUCAAGACGGCCGUGGAAAAUGCUUGCCCAGGAGUCGUCUCCUGCGCCGACAUUCUCGCUCUCGCUGCUGAAGCUUCAGUUAACUUAGUAAGCCAUUUUUUCCAUCUCUCUCUCUCUCUCUUCGAGUCUCUAUAAUGGAUUCUCAAUAUUCGUACAGAUGUAUCGAUACGAAGUUUUAUUUAUCAAAUAUAUUCCUCCGGAGGUGCAUAGCCUACAAAUAUAUUUCUCUGUUAGUUAACCAGUAAAAAUUAUUUUUUCUACAAAAUAUUUUUAAUUAUAUUUUAACCUUAUUUAUCAUUUUUGAUAUUUUUAUUUUAACUUUCUUAAUUUGUUGGAUUUUGCACUGAUGUACUAGUCACCAUAUCUCUCUAUGGAUCUCUGAAAACAAGUGGUAAGAAGGUGACAGGAAGUACUUCUCCUUAAAAUGAGAUAUAAUUCAUUUUCAAAGCUGCAACCACUUUUUUAUGAACUUGGUCUUGUUACUUUAUUAUCUUUUGACUGGUGAACAAGUGAAAAAUUUAUUAUCGGAACUGUGAAGAGAAUUGAUAGUUCUAAUAAACAGGCUAAAUUAUAAAAUAAUAAAUUAAUUUUUAUCUUGUAUCUUAUUUCCAUCUCAAAGAGAUCCAAUUUUAAAAUAAUUGUUUAAUUCUGCUUUAAAAUGUUAUAGUUUUAGUAAAAUUUACCUCUAUCAACUUAUUUUGGUAAAAUUUUACAAUCAAAUAUAAAAAUUAUAUAUUCCAACGUUUGGGAUGUUUUGACACAACAAUAAAGUGUAGGGGAAAGUUAAUGCAAUUUUUAAUACAAGAAGGUAUAUUUAAGAAAUGAGCUAAAGUGAACAAAAAGAUUUCGUAAUCUAGGGUAAUAAAUUAAUAUGCCGACAUAUAUAGCUUGUAGACACUCAACUUCUUAAUGAGGAUUAGUUAGGAGAAGGUAUUUUAAUGAGGGUUAGUUAGGAUAAGGUGAUUUGACAAGUUCUUGGUGCAAUUAAUAGCACUAAGCACUUGGUGCUAUCAAGUUUUCCGCCGUUAGAUCUAUCAUUUUGACAAUUUCCACCAAUUAGAUCAUACUAUUCAAUAACCAUCCACUCAAUUCUAAGGCUUCGUUUGGUUCGCGGUUAAGUAAGAACUAGUUAUUCUAGUGAUAGGGUUAAGUUCAGGGUUAAACCUAGAAUAGAUCAAUUUUGUUUUUGGAUGAUAAUUAAGCUGUUCUUGGAAUUAAGAAAAAUAGAGUUUGGAUAGAUAAGGUGGAAUAAAAAGAAUAGUAGGUAGCUAUAAAUAAAAAAUAAUGAUAUUACCCCAAUUAUUAUAUUUGAAUUUAAAUUUUUUUUAUUUCAUAUUUAAUUUUCAAAUUUAAAUAGAUAACUUUUACAAUUAAAAAUUUAAAUUAAUAUCUAUAUUUUUAAAUCUCAAAUUUAAAAAUUUAAAGUUAUAAAUUUUAAUUUUAAAUUUUAAAUCAAAUCUAACAAAUAUAAAAUUACAAAUAUAAAAUAUCAAAUUUAAAAUUUAAAUAAUUAAAAUAAUAAUUUAAACUUUAAAAUUUCAAUAAUUAAAAUAACAAUUUAAAUUUUAAAAUUCAAAAUUAAAAUCUAUAUUUUUAAAUCUCAAAUUUAAAAAUUUAAAGUUAUAAUUUUUAAAUUUUAAAAUUUAAAUCAAAUCUCAAGUUACAAAUAUAAAAAGUUAAUUUUAAAAUUUAAAUAAUUAAAAAUAAAAAUUUGAAACUUAAAAUUUUAAAAAAUCAAUAUAAAUUUUAAAAUUUAAAAUUAUAUAAUUUUAAAAUUUAAAAUUUAAAAUUAUAUUUAAAAAUUAAAUAGGGGUGGGAACCCCUGUUCCAGGGGUGGGAUAGGGUAACUCCACCCCAAAUGGGUUAUCGCGAAUAAUCCAUUUGGGGUGACAUUAACUAAUCCCACCCCCUAAAAAUUGUGUUUGGGGUUAAAUAGGGGGAUAACCCCUUCAUCCCCCUCUUUAAUCCCGAACCAAACGAGGACUAAGGGACCACUAUCAUACUAACCGAACAUCCCUUCAUCUAAAUUAAGGGCUAAAACCUAAUAGCACAAAUGACUUGGUACUAUUAAUAGUAUAGUAGUCUAAUUCUAAAUAUAUGUACAUAUAUAUAGCCCUGUGACCAUUUCAACUCCUUAGAUCAUACUAUUCCAUCAGCCAAUCACUAAACUCUGAGGAACCGCUGUCAUCCUAGCUAACCGCAUUUCUUCAUCCACGAGGCGAAAACUUUCACCUCCCUACAUCGUAAUUGACUUCGACCUGCGAUAAGCAGAAGUUUUUUAUUUUUUAUCUUUUUUUUUGAGAGAUAGGUAGCACGCUAGCUGCUUCGUUUAUUUCAUUUAGAAAUAAAACUUGGCUGGAAUUGUGAAUCAACUAGGAUUCGAACUUGGGUCUCGGGUACCAACCUCCAAGCCCUUUGCCACUUGCUCUAGGGACGGUCGGUACGGGCCAAAAACCUUAAUACCAAUGACUUCGUGCUAUUAGCAGUAUUCUAGCCUAGUUCUACACACACAUACACCUUGUUGUGUGCUAUUAUGAAUAUUUUUGUGAAACAAAUAUAGAAAGUGGAGAGCAUAAGUUUUGAAGCCACUAAAUGAAUAACGGUUAAAAAAAAUAACUUUUACCAGAACUUUAAUUCGAUUAAAAGUCAUUUUCAACCUAUAAAAUAGUUACAAGCACAAACAACUUGGACCCUUCUAGUGGAGUUGAGCUUGAGCUAGGCUUAUUGAACAUCUGACCAACUUAGGCCCCCUAUGGUACUGAGGGUUGUUUAAUGCUAUUGGAUAAAAAAGAUUGCUAGGGCAAAAUCAUAUAAACAUAUGCUACCCCAUUUUAUACGGACAAUGAAAAUUAUAUAUUGUAUCUGGAUCAUUGCAUUUACAGCGUGAUAUCUUUUAUGCAAAUAAUGAAUGAUAUAUUUUUUCAUCACACUUUCUGUCUGUACAUAAUGCAUCGUCCAUUUAUUCCAAAUAGAAACUUAGAUGGUUAAUGAUCCAAGAUAAAACGAUUGUCUUUUUUAAAAUUUGUUAUUCUUUUUAAUCCUUGGGUUGGAGUGCAACUAAUUUGUAUCAUAAUAAUAAUUGUAAUAGGCCGGGGGACCGUCAUGGACUGUGUUAUUGGGGAGAAGGGAUAGCACCACUGCAAACUUCACUGCAGCCGGCAAUCUCCCCGGCCCCUUCGAUAACCUAACCACUCUCCAAAAGAAGUUCUCCGACGUCGGCCUCCAUGACAUCGAUCUCGUCACAUUAUCAGGUAUCUGCAUAAUCAUCAAAUAUCAACACUUUGUUCUAUUACUGUCGUUGUUCUCAUUCAAUUUCUCUACUCGAAAUGCAAAAGUUAAACGUUCUAAAACAUACACACAAAACUGGAAGAAAUUAUGGUUUGUUUAGCUCCCAGUAAAUUAAGCCCUAAAAAAUUUUAGAACUUCUACUUUCGCCAAGUGGCAUUGCUGGGUGUUGCCAUAUAGUAAUGAGUUGUUUGCUUGAUCAUGUAUUUAAUAGACUCAAAAUCAAGAUCAUGUCUUCUGAAUUUCUUUACAACUCAGUGCAUAAGAAAAUUUUAUGCACGAGACGAACCUGCCGCUCAUCGAGGGUAGAAUUUAUAAACCUAUUUUAAAGUGAGACAUGAACUCCUAGCUAGCUCAAUGUAGAAUGCGUAGUUGCAACUAUGACAGAACGAAAAAGUAAGUGGAUUUUUCUUUCUUUUUCUUUCUAUUCUUUGUAGGUAGUUAGUGAUGUUCUCUUAUGCAUUCACUUUCGUCGAUAACAGGAGCUCACACAUUCGGCCGAGGCCAAUGCCAGUUCUUCAGCAAUAGUCGGCUCUACAAUUUUAAUGGCACCGGGAAACCAGACCCGACCCUAAACUCAACCUACCGAACUAUACUGGAGCAAAACUGCCCCCAAGGUGGGAACGGAUCGGUCCUGAACAAUCUCGACCCGAUCACACCGAACAAGUUCGAUGGCAACUACUAUAUAAAUCUACAGAACCACAGAGGGCUUUUCACAUCCGACCAGGAACUCCUGUCGGAUCCCAACGCGACGACGACCGCCUCGAUUGUAAACAAUUUCGCCGGCAACCAGCGCGCAUUCUUCAAUAGCUUCGUGCAGUCGAUGAUCAAAAUGGGGAAUAUUAGUCCCUUGACAGGGAGCAGUGGGGAGAUCAGAACCAACUGCAGUGUGGUGAAUAGUGGAUCCGGUUUGGAAUUGCAUAUUCAGAUUCGACACGAUUCAGACACGGGUUCAGCUGCAGAAUAAGAAAUUAAAAGAUAGGGUAAAUUGCAUGUUUGGUGCUCAACUAUGAGGUGGGUGACUUUUUGGUCCUCGAUCUUUAAUUUGUUGCAAUUUCUGUCACAAACUUUCCGAAUUAUCACAAGCAAGUCCUGCAACCCAAUUUAAUUAAUUAAAUAUUCAUAUAUCGCUAAAGUAGAAGUGAUAUAGCAUUGAUGUGAUUGACAAUACAUCAAUAAUUAAGAUGACACAUCACUUUUACAUCAGCGAUACAUCAACAUUUAAUUAACUAAAUUAGAUCGUAGAAUUUGAUUAUAAUAAUUCUAAAGGUAGAAGCCAGAAAUUACAACAAAUUAUAAUUUGAGGACUAAAUGGUCACCGGCUUCAUAGUUUGAGGACAAACAUGCAAUUUAUGGUAAGAAAUAUACAUGGUUGCUGAACUUAAAUCUAAAUUUCGAACUCUUUGUGAUCACAAUAAUAUGAUUUGAGACAUAUCCUCCUUUUUCUCUCUCUCUUCUAUCUCUUGCUCUCUUUCGUAUCUUACUUUUUCCUUAUCCACAACUGUACUCUAAUAAUGCGAAAAAAAAGUCUAAAAUAGAACAGUCGCAUAGAUAAUGUGGUAUUUGUUGGAUUGUUCGUGCUAACCAUUAAUUCCAAAAGCACUACAACAGAAUUAGGUUAUAGGGACACAUAUUUAGGACACUUUUGAGUAAGUAUCUCAUUUAUGCUAAAACUUAAAAACACAUCUACUAAUGCCUAAAUAUAAAGCCCAAUCCAACCAAAAAUAAAAGAUUACUCUACUAAACCCACCACACCCAGUCCAUUUGGCCCGAUUACAAACAGAAAAGAAAAAAAAAAAAGAAAAAUUAAUUACCAUCUUUUCUUCUCUCUUCACUUAAUCCACUGAAAUUCUAGACGAAGAGCCUUUACUGUCGUCCUCCUCCGCCACCGCAGCCAAUGAGAUAGAGUUUCGGUGGUUGCUAAAUGCUUAAAUAAGUAUUGAUAAAUUAGCAGCACUCUUUUAGGUUAUAGCGACACUCUUUAACUGUCACUAUAUACCUAGCGACCCCACAUAUAGCAACAAUUUUUAAAAGUGUCGGUAAUUUUAGCUAGCAGCACUUUUUUGACAUGUACCUAUAUUUAAAAGUGUCGCUAUAGACCAUUUUUGUUGUAGUGAAGCUCGAACUGUUAGAAAUACGCAAUCAAUUCACUUAAAGCGUACAGAUACAGCGCCCAUGGAUCUCGAUUGUGACUCGGUCCAACCAGCCUUAUGUCAUUUCGAACAUGACUCCGCCUACAUGACCUCCCGCCGUAGAAUAGGAUGCUGGCCCAUUUAAACCAGCAAUAUUAUCUUCAACCAAUCACAUUUGAACCCUAGAACUCACUCAUGAUUCGAUCACGGGGUUUUAGAAAAAUAUUUUCUUUUGUAUUUUUCAAUAAAGUAUGGUCUCACCUUGCUUUCAAUAAAGUAUGUUUUUCCUCAAGUACGAGUGCCCUCACCUUUCUUUCAAUAAAGUAUGGUCUCACCUUUCUUUCAAUAAAGUAUGUUUUUCCUCCAGUGCUAGAGUCCUCACUUUUCUUUCAAUAAAGUAUGUGUGUGUGUGUGUGUGUGUGUGUGUGUGUGUUUUAUAUAUCGUUUCUCCCAUUUCUUCUCACAAUAAACAAGAUGCAUAGGCUUUCAUCAUGCUCUCUCGAUCUCUUUCCAUUAUGGUGCCUUAUCUUAAUCUACUCGUUGUCCCCCGUUGAUCGAAGCACUAGUUUGGUCAUCAUAUUGUCGAGCACUAGUUUGGGCAUCGUGAUCAGUAUUCUAAUCAUAGUGGUCCGCGGUGGAUUCAAUAAAAGUGAUGUCGCUCACCAGCUGGGUGACUGCUUCCAUGGGUGUGUUUGAUUCGCUCAUUUUUCACACUCUUAAAUUAGAAUUGGAAUAAACGAAUCUGUUUGUUCGUAUUUGGUAUAUAAGAUUUUCAUUCUAAUUUUUAUUUCUCGGUGAAUGCGAAUCCCUUAAUUACUUCUUUUUCCAAUCCGGAUCCGGACGGAAUGGAUUUGUUCGGAUUAAAUUUAAUUUUUUUAAACUUAUUUUUUAAUUAAAAUAUAAGUUCAAGUUUAAAAAUUAUGUUUAUAAAUUUAAAUUUAAAUUUGAACUUAAAUUAAAAAUUAAAAUUCAAUCAAGUAUUUCGAAUCUAAUUUAUAAAUUUGAAUUUGAAUUUAAAUUUAAUUUAAAAUCUAAAAUUUUCUUCCAAUUUUAUUUAAAAUUUAAAUUAAAAUAUAUGAAUUCAAAUUGAAAUUUAAAUUAUAAUUUUAAGUUUGAAUUUGAAUAAAUCGAAAUUAAGUUUUAUAUUUUGAAUUAUCCGUUCAAUUUCUAAUUUUUAUUUUUUAAAAAAUAUAUUUAAAAUUUUGACAUUAUUUUAAAUAUUUGAAGUAAAUUAUUAAUAUUUAAUUUUUAGUUUGAAUUUAAACUAAUAUAUUAUAAAAAUAAAAUUGACAUAUUAAUUUGCUUACAUUUUUGAUAUCAUCUAUCUGAACCAAACACCGACAAUAGAAAUGAUUCAUUCCGAUUCUGAUUCAGGUGGCAAACUAUAUAAAAUAAGAUAAUGAAUCAUUCCAAUUCUAUUUCCAAUUUAUUCUCAUACCGUUUUCGAUACUAAUUUCGAUCUUGAAUCAAACACACCCUUUAUGUCCCAAGUUUGUCUUUAUAGUUUUUUUUUCCUUUAUUUCUCAUGGGCUUUCACGAUUAUGCCUUUGAUUGUUCUGUUAACUUAGUUGCUUAGAUUUGGGAACUAAUCUAUAUAUCUUUCUCAUCUCUAUUUAAAUUAGGUUUGGGGACUGUCUAUUGUAUCUUUCCAUUUGUUUGGUUUUGGAAUUUUAUGUAUGUUUUCUUUUUAUAUCUUUAUUGUUCAGGACUCUGCUCAAAAUUUUUCUUGAAAAUUAAUUAUUGUCAUAAUCAAGUCCUACUUCAAGGGAAUGCCUACGGUUUUUUUCUUUUAAAAAAAUAUAUAUCAUUUUAGAUAUAUAUAACUCAUAUAUAUAUUUUCCAAAGUGAACUAUUUACAAACCCAAAAAAAGGUGAAAUAAAAAGUUAGUAAAUUUUUCCAUUUUUUUUAAAAAUUAUUUGUUAAGUUCAUUGAGGUUAAAAGCGUUAGGAAUGGCUUCCAUUUCGCUGUUAAUUGUAGAUUGUUUAAAACUUUGUAACUGUUUCGUGUCAAAAAUUAAUCAAGAGUACUAUUUUUUGUUUUUUUGUUUUGAAAAUAAGUUUGCAAACUUACAAUAAUAUAUAAAAAAGAGUAUAUAGAGAAGUCCAUCUCUAGUUUCUUGAAUAAAGUAGAACUUGAGCAAAGCAAAAAUAAUAUACACAAACAAGGGCAAAUACAACAUUAGCUAUUUAAAAAACAGGGGUUAUUUUUAUAAAUUUUAAAUUUUUUAAUCAAAAUACUAAAUUAAAUGGAAAUAAUUUAUUAUUAUUAUUUUUUAAUUUUAUAUAUUUUUAAAAAAUUAAAAAAUUAAAGGGCCGGCCUGGGGCAUGGCCCGGCCCGGCAUGGCCCGUGACUUCUGGGCUGCAGGGCUGUGCUGGGCUGGGAGCUGGUUAGCUCUGGCCCAGCACGGCUCGGCCCGAAUUUGACGACGGGCUGGGCCGGGCCGCCCCAUGGCUCAUUUCAGCCCGACUAAUGAGGGCCAUGCCGGUCCGGCACGGCUCAUAUUACACCCCUAUCCCUAAUCUUUAUUAUUUUGUUCAUUAUGGCCUUUGCCAUCUAAGCAUUACACAGAGUAACUAACUCAACGCAACUUCUGUGUUUACGACCCAAAACUAUGAUGCUAGAUAAAGUAAGUCUUGUGUGAUAACCAAACUCGGUAAUAUCGAUCAAAAUGCUUUUGUUUAGUUAUUAGUAUCAGAAUGUUUAUUGCUUAUAUACUGGCAAUAAUUUCUUUUUAUGCAAUACGAAACUAGUUGAGUACUGUAGAUUCUCCCUUUUUAAACUUUGACGGUUAAACUUUGACACUCAAUCAAUUUUACACACAGAGACUCUCUUCGUUGCAAAUGGCGCCCUUGUGAAUUCUAGCCGAACACAUAGUCCAAAAUAACUAGCUAGACAUGAGUUCUUACUUUAAGCUUAUAACUGCUUUGGUAACAUCUGUUAUACCCAGUCCACUAGAUCCUAAGCAAGAACCAUAAGCCAAGUUAUUAAUAUUAGAGUGCUUGGUCCUUGCAUACCCAGAGGAAGUUUCGUUUCAAGCCAAUAUGAAAAUAUUGGAGUGUCACAUCUUAAUAAGUGUCACGCAUCUUGUUACCAAAACCUAUGGCUUACCCCAAAAAAAAAAAUUCUAUAGAUGAGAUUUUUAUCCAUAUAUGUGAAAAAAACUACAGUUGCAUAUUGUUUCCUUUAAAUUUGAUAUUAGCACAUAAACUAGGCUGAGAUUGCGACGCCCUAAUAGUCCCACAUUUUGUGGGAAGGAAAUUAUGCAUGAAAAUUUAAGGACCAAUUAAUGCUCUAAUAGUAAUAACUAAGCUUAAACAUUUUAGGUUAUGUUGGUUCAUAAUUGAAAUAUGGAUAGAAAAAAUAAUUGGGUUGUAUUGGAAUAGAACAUGAAAUAGCAAAUCAUGCAAAAAUAUUUGUUUUAUUAUUGGAAUAGAUAUUAAAAUGGAUAUCUAGAAUUAGGGUUUUGCUUAAGAGAGAAGGGAGUGAAAAGGGAAGAGAAGAGCGAAGUGUUUGAGAGAGACGGCUUUGAGUGAUUUACUUUGGAAUGGACCAAUCCAGAAUUGAAAGCCGGAUAGAGCUAUAAAUGGAUAUGGUCAUUCCCAUUCCAAAAUGGAGUGCAAAUAGAAAUUCUUUUUCUGUAAAACAAGUAACAAUUAUCAGAAUCAAUAAAAAUCUCAUUUUGAUCCAAAGUCUAAAAUACAUAAACCAAACAAGUCUUUAGUUUCAGAGUCGGUAUCGAUAUGCUAGUCGAUAGUGUGAGAUAAGAUGACCUAAUAGUCCCACAUUGGAUGAAAGAGAACUAUGCAUGGAAACUUAAGGACCAAGGCUUAGUACUAAAACUGGCCUUAAGCAUUUUGGGCUAAUGGUUUAGGCCGAAUGAGUUAUUAGUUUAGUGGAUUUUAGUCGUUAUAGAGAUGUUGCUAGGCCUUGGUGCUAUAGAUUCAUUUUUGACGAUAGGGCUUUCGAUUCAAUAACCGACACGGCUAAAAAUGGUUGAGGUACUUUGUAAAUCGUAUAAACAAAUUUUGGAAUAAUUUGAUGCCAUUCAUGUAGUGAUCAAGCAACCUCAAAAUUGAAAGUUUUUCAUUUUUGUUUUAUUAUAUUUUUAAGAAUUUUUAAAUUGGCCAAUUUGCAUAAAAAAUCCACUACUUUUGUGAUUUUUAAAAAGUGGGUCAUUAUUCUGAUUUUGUAAAUUCGGGCAAGAUUUUCAGAAAAUUAAUCAAAAUACCUUUAUUCUCUUUUCUCUCUCUCUCUUUUUUUUCCUUUGUUCUUUUUUUUUUUUUUCUUUCAGACCCUCCUCUACCACCUCCGCGGCCCUCAACGAUGGACGAGGGCAGCGCUGUCUCCUCUUCCUCCACCUCUGCCUACGCCGGUAUCAACACCGAAGUCGGCGCCAGAGGAGAAGAACUCGGAGUCGCCUCUGCCUCUGCCUCCGUUGGCAUCGGCAUCAACACAGCGCUAGAGGCGAAGAACUCAGAGUGGGCGUGGAUGAGGGCGAAGCAAAUGGAAGCGAUGAGCUCGUGGCCGAUGAGGUGCUCACUGCCCGUGAGAAUGAGGACGAAGACGUGUCCAUCUCCAAGGAGCGAAAAAAGAUAUAGAGGGUAGAAAAAAAAAGUAAAAAAAUAAGAAAAAAUUUCUCCUUAAAAGACCAUUAUAUAUCAUCGUAUUACAGGAAAGGCCAAGAAUCAGAGAAGAAUGAAGAAGAAGAUGAUGGUUGCACUAUUAAUAUAAAGUUACACUGUUUCACAAAAAAAUACACUAUUUAAGAUGAAUGUUGUACUCUUUGAAAUGAAAAUUGUAUUCUUUAAAAUAAAUUUGCAUUCUUUCGACAAAAGCUAUAUUAUUUUAGAGAAAAUUGCACCCUACUUUCUAUGGCAACCACUCUCGCCAGUGCAAAAAUGGGUUGUAGCUCGGCUUCUUCCUCUUUUCAUAAUCAUUUUUGAACUACGAAACGCUUGGUUUCCAUUUUGGUUGUAGGUGUAACCAACCUGCUAUUAAAGAUAUAGUAGAAAUAGAAAAGGACUUUCAUUUCCAGUCUACCAUUAUUUAAUAUUUUAUUUAUGCAGUGAUUUCAAAUCCAGAAGCAUCAAGUAAAAUCAUUCUAUUCGGAUUCAGCCUCCCCUACGCGAGGCUCGCCUUAUUCCCACGCGGCAGCGGAGAUCUGCUACCGCCACCGCCACUGCCACCACCGGCGUCGGAGCCAUGUUCAACAAGAUCAUCAAGCACGGCGGCCGCAAGAUGCCCAAAUCCGAGUCCUCCUCCCUCGACCCCUCCUCCCCGCUCCCUCUGCUCUGCUCGUCUCCAUCAACCACACCUCCCGCUCGACCACUGCCGUUGCCGCCGCAUCCCCGCUCUCCCCGGGCUCUUCCUCCAUCGCCAGCCGCCGCACGAGCUCAUUGAGUUCAUCCAAUCCGACUCCUCGGGGCACGUCCCAGAGCCCCUCUAGGACGAGCUCCAACACGACGCACGGGGUGGAGAGGCUCGCGCUAGCAAGGGUGGUCGCCAUGGACUGUAGAGUGCAAUUUUCUCCAAAACAUUAUAUCGUUUGUUGAAAUAGUGCAACUUUCAUUUAAAGAGUAUAAUUUUUAUCUCAAAGAGUGUAACGUUCAUCUCAAACUGUGCAAUUUUCUUAUGAAACAAUAUAAUUUUAUUUUAACAGUGCAAUAUUCAUAUUCUUCUUUCUUCUCUGAUUCUUAGUCUUUUCUAUAACAACGGCGAUAUAUAAUGGUCUUUUAAGGAAAUUUUUUUUUAUUUUUUAUUCUUUUUUCUAUCCUUUAUAUCUUUUUUCUCUUCUUGAAUAUCGGCACGUCUUCAUCCUCACCCUUAUAGGCGUCAAACACCUCCCCGGCCAUGAUCUCAUCGCUUCCGUCCCCGCUGUCCUAUUCACGCGCACUCCGAGUUCGCUUCCUCCAACACCGGUGUCGAUACCGGCACCGGCGGAGGGGGAGGAAAAGAAGGCAGCACCGCCCUCAUUACCAUCGCCGAGGGCCGCGGAGGUGGUGGAGGAGGGUUUAAAAAAAAAAAAGAACGAAAGAAACAAAAAUAAGAGAGAAAAGAGAAUCAUGGUAUUUUAGUCAGUAUUUUAAAGAUUCGAUCCGAAUCUGCAAAAUCUAGAAUAAUGGCCCACUUUUACAAAAUGGCAAAACUAGUGAAUUUUUUAUGCAAAUUGGCCUUUAACAUUCUAUACGAGGCGUUUUCUCUUUUAAUAGAGUAGAAAUGCAUAACAUGAGUUGAGUUGUGUAUAAACAAUCUUUUCACUAUGGAAAUUGAAAUAUGUUAUUGUGAAUUUUCCAAUGAAAGAAUUUAAUCCUCUAAUUUUAGAAGGUUAUUGAUUUUUGACUAUUUAUUUUAUGACCUUUCGAUGAACUAAAUUAAAAAUAUUUUUUGAAAAAUCAUAUAAAACAUUUAAUUAAAAAAAUCAACUACUCAAAAUUACUUAGAUGAUGCCCAUGUCAUUUCAACCACUCUAACCCUCUGACAUUGAAAAUGAGUUUAUAGCAUCAAUAAUGAUAACUUAAUUGUUAAAAAAAAAAAAAAAAAAAAAACUUCAAAAAACCCUAUGUGGUUUCAUUUUUUAUCACUUUAGUACCCUAUGGUUUAAAAUGUAUCAAGUUAGUACCAUGUGAUUUCUCACUUUAUCACUUUAGUACCUAAUGGUUUAAAUUGUAUCAAGUUAGUACUCUGUGUUUUGCACUUUAUCACUUUAGUACCCUAUGGGUUUAAUUUUCUAUCAAGUUAGUACCCUGCGGUUUUUAAACCACAGGGUACUAAAGUGAAAAAGUGCGAAACCACAAUGUACUAAACUGAUAAAGUGCAAAACCACAGGGUACUAACUUGAUACACUUUAAACCACAGGGUACUAAAGUGAUAAAGUGAUAAAUCAUAGGUCCUAACUUGAUACAUUUUAAACCACAUGAUACUAAAGUGAAAAAAAGUAUAACCACAAGUAGGGUUUUUGAAAUUUUCCCUAAAAAAAAAAAAGACAUAUGCAUUAAUACCAUUUUUUUUCAGGAAUUAAUACGCCUUUACAUUGUUAAAAUAUUAUCUUGAAACUUAAAUCACAAGUAUUAGGAUUGUUUCCAAUCUAUAUUGCUUAAAAGAUCGAUAUCAUAGAAAAUAACUUAAAAAUAUAUUUAACGAAAAAAAGCCUCAGAACCCAAUUUAAUUAUGUCAUUAUAAACACUACCUAUUUUUGUUUGCUCCUUGCGUAAAAGUCCAAAAAAAAUAAAUAAAAAUUGUGAAAUAACAAGUUCAUGAUUCAAACAAGCCCACAAAUAUAGCUCAAGAGGUCACCUUCACUUAUCUAUUAAACUCUACUUUGGUGCUAUUUCAGUUGCCAUAUUAUAGUGUUUGUUCUUUUCCAAACAUGCAUCAUUAAUCAUCAUUUUCUCAUCAAUCUAUAGGGAUAUCUGUAAUAUCUCUGGAGUUCAGCAUUUGGGACUUGACGACAGCUAUGGAGAGUGUCGGGACAAAUUCGAGUCAUAUUGGCGCGAAAUAGAUGUCAACUGGACUUAGUGGGAUGCGAGGGCAGGAAAUUAGCACUGAAAUAUGCAAAAUAGCAGAUUUUCUGCAUUGAGAACCGGUGACAACCAGGGGUGUACCGGUACCCUGUGUAAUAUGCACGCAGACCUGCUCUCGGAUUGCAUUUUCUGUUGCGGGGUAUUGGUACAACAUCGACUUGGUACCGGUACUCCAGGGUAGGUGAGGGGCUGUUUGGUCUUUUGGCUAUCUCGUUGUUUUCACCCUCUCUCCCACUCCUUCAUAUACGUGUAGAGAGGCCAGGAAGGGGUUUUGCUGAUAUUCUCUCCCUCUCUCUCUAAGAUUGAGCCGUACGUGGAGGAGGCUUCGGGUGGAGUUCGGGUCUACAUCGACAUUGCGCCGCGGUGCCGUUCGAGCGUGCGUUCGUCGUGGUAACGUCGUUGGGAAGCCGGGCGAGCGUGUGGUUCUGCUUCUAGCGACUUCUCGCCGGUUUUGGAGUAGCUUUCGAGGUGGGUCAAAGUGAUUCUUACCGGAUUUCGUGGAUUUCCUCCUAAUUCUAUAUGUUGACAGCAUGUGCUUUUUAGCUUCGUUUAGCAUAUUGUUUAGCUCGAUUUUUGGAUUUGUAUAUUUUUUAUCUUGAAUUGGAGCUUAGAAUACUAGCUAAAUAAUACAUGUUAGACUUGGAUUUGACUUAGAAGAAAACUGGCUUUCUACACUGUCAUAUGUUCAAACUACUAGAUUUAGUUUUAGGAACCGUAGUUUGUUUGUAUCGCCGCAGUUUGUGGGCGAUAGAUAUCCGGAAUAGUGUAGAAUAUAUUUACGCUCGUGCUGAGGUGCCAAGUGUAUUUUACGGCAGUGUUUAGACUGUUCCGGAUUGUCGGUUGCCGUUGAGGUUGACGGUGAACCCAGAUUGCGGUUUUUGCAUCAGAUUGUGCCGAGGGCACAUAAGUACAGUUGUUAGACCCUGUUUACUUGACUAUAGCCUGUGAGAGCCUGGUUGAGCUUGACAGAGACACGCUUGCAUACUCGGUUGGGUAGCGCCUACUAGUGCCACUCCGGAGUCGGGCUUUGUGCUCUUGCGUUGGUGUCGUUUUGUCCUGAUUGGACUUGCUCUCCACUGACGAUCUGGUUUGGUGUUAGUUAGUGUAGCUUCGACAGGCAGGACAAGUGAGUUCACAGUCCCUAGUGAGAUUGGGUCAGGUUGUACUUUUCUACAGAUAGUUGGUGUUAGACCGAGAUAGUAUAGAUGCAUAUAGCUGUAGAUUUAUUCCAGCUUUCUUACUAUACUUGUUUACAUCUGUAGACUUAGUGGGUGAGCCGUUGAGGUCGGUAGCGGUACCCACUGAGGACUACUUUUUUUUGCAGUAGUUCUCACGCCCAGUUGUUGGAAUCUUUUGCAGAGCCUUCUUCUUCAGCUGCUGCUGCUGCUGAUUCGGACCGUGGAAAGGGAGUCGCGUGUUAGAUCCCUUCUCAGUUGCUGUUGAGCUAGAGUAUACUAGCUACAGGUAGUGAUAGUUUUUGAGUUCAUAUACAUACUUAUGUUGUAUCUUGCUGGAGCGAGCUUUUUGUAUACAUGGAUGUGAUGUAUAUAUGUAUAGUGAACUUUUAUUUUUCUUAUGUAUGCUUUCUCUUUUAGCAGUUCUACACUACUGGUUGUAAUGUUGUAUGAUUACAGGUACAGCUUUCGCUUUGUAUACAGAAAAAAUUUCUAUACAUACGACGGGUCUGUUAGCGUGUCCGGGAAAACUAAUAAUCCGGGGCGUGACAAUAUCAACGGAUAGGAUUUGGGGUGGGUUUUCAAAAACCUGAACCCUAACCCAACUACCCACCGGAACUCCAAUCUAACAGAUUUUAAAAAUUAAUAUCCAAAUUGAAACCCAAUUGAAAAUCCGAAAUCUGAACCGAACCCGAAAACCCAAAUCCGAAAAAAUUGCUUUUCUGGUUUGGAUAGAAUUUUGAAUAAUCUAUACCCAUUGAUAUUAUCUACAUUGUACCUUAAGUAUAUUUUUUUAUUUGCUACCCUAGAAUUUUUACUUUUUUCAAAGUCACCACUAAAUUACCAUAUUUUGGCUAAUCUCUAUAUUAUUAUCAACAAAUAUAUUGUUUUACACGGAAGCUAACAAAUCCAUUAAAAAACACUAAUUAGAUAAUGAGAGAAGGACAAAAGCCUCAAAAAUAGAUUCAUUUAUAAAUUAGUUCUCACCUAUUUUUUUUGCUAAUUUCUAAAUUUUUUUCAAAUUAAUUAUAUACAGAGCCCUGCAAAUUAAUAUAGUGAAUUAUAACUAUAUCACUACAAUGUUCAACUUUUAUAUAUUGUCUCUAUAAAAGUCCUAAUAUUUUCAAAUAUGUUCAUGUCAUUAGAAAAUGUUAGAAAAAUUUAGUCGACCAUAGGUUAAAUAUACUUUGUGAGAUAACUUGAUAUUUUUACCCUUUUAUAUUAUACUGUUGUGACUUUUGGAGGAACAUAUUUGUGAUGGCAAAAUUGAUAUUUCACUUAUUUGCUGUUAAAAUAUAAAUAAUUUUUAAUAGUAAUAAACCAGAGUGAUAUAUUUGAAAAUAUUAUAAUUUUUAUAAAAACAACAUAUGAAAGUUGAACUUUGUACUGAUAUAUUUGCAAUUCACUAUAUUUGCAGGUACCUGUAUGCAUUUAACCUUUUUUACUUAAUUAAAAUAGGGUGAAUGUACAGAUAAACAACAUAUGAAAGUUGAACUUUGUACUGAUAUAUUUGCAAUUCGAUCACUAUGUUUGCACGUACAUAUAUGUAUUUAACCAUUUUUACUUAAUUAAAAUAGGGUGAAUGANCCUUCCAAAAAAAACAAAAAAACCUCCCAAAAACAAAAAAAAGUGGUGUUUCUUGGAGAAAAAAAAAAAGUAUUCAUAGGAAAUGGAAAAAAAAAAAGAAGAAAGCCCUAAACUGCUAUGUAGUAUAGAAUAGUCUCUUUUUUCGCAGUUAAAUAAAAACUAAGCAGCUUUUGUAACACCAAAACCACUAAACCUACCUAAUUAGUUUACAAUUUAAGGUAGGGAAUGGAACCUACCCUAAUUUAUUAGGAUCUGAUGCGGCUAAUUUGGCAAUUAGAUUUUAUAGAGAAACUUGAUAUAACUAAGUGGGCGAAAAUCACAUUGAGUUAAAAGCAAUUCUUACAAACAGACUCAAAAGUUUUUUAAACAGUUAUAACUUUUCACACGUGUCCAUUCUUAAUGUGCAGUCCCAAUUCGUGAACAAUUUUUUAAGAUCUACAUGUUGAACUGCUUCACUGUUCAGGCAAGUUUGAAAUCCAAAUUCAUGCAGGAUAUUUUGAGUCAGAUUGAAGAGUCAGUUGUGAUCAAAUUAGAUUUAGAGAUAUUUUAGAUUCUGUUAUUUUCUUUCAUUGUAGGAUUCUAAUAUUGCCUACAUAAAUAUAUGUUGUUCGAUUAUUGUAAGCGGUUUUAGAAUUUUGAUCAGUAAUAUAUUUGUUUUCGUUUUUGAAAUAUUAUCUUCUUCAUGUCUUUUUUCUUGCUUGCUAUGCUUCUUCUUUCUCAACACGGUUUAGACCUGCACUAGAAUUUAAGAAAAACACCGACCGUCCCUAGAGCAAGUGGCAAAGGGCUUGGUGGUUGGUACCUGAGGUCCCAAGUUCGAAUCCUAGUUGAUUCACAUUGCUAACAAGUUUAUUUCUAAAUGAAAUAAACAAAAGCGGGUAGCGUGCUAACUAUCUCUCAAAAAAAAAAAAAAAAUCUAAGAGAAAUUUUUGUUCUCUUAAAGGAGCUAGCAUUCUGUUUUGUGGCGAAAUGUCAAGUUGAAUCGAAUCACGUUCGAAAUGGCAGAAGGUCAUGUAGGACAAAAUCAUGUUCGAAGCAGUAGAAAAUUAACUGAGUCGAAUUACAAUCAAGAAUGUUGUGUUUGCAUACUUUGAGAAAAUUAAUUGUAAUUUUUUAAAAGCAAUAAUUUUUUAAAUUAUUAAUUUGCGCCACCCUAAUAUAUAUAUAUAACUGUCAUACCACAAUGCAUUUAUAUAGUCUAAGCUCUACACAAAGGAUGUAAAGUCCCACUUAGCUGCUGGCAUUGCAUGCCACAAAUGAAAAGCUCUAGAAGGUCAAAAAGAUUAGACAUAUUGUGGGAUAGAAAAAAAAAUAAAAAAUUACACUAUCAAUGCCUGUUUUUUCCAAACUUAGUUGACCAAGUCACAUCAUCAAGAGAGGUUGUUCUCAAGGAAUAAUAAUAAUAAUAAUAAUAAUAAUAAUAACAAGGGCAAUGCUCCUAUAUACCAAAUAAACCUUAGUCCUUAAAUUUUUUAAAAUAGAUGGUAGUGAUGCAUCUUUUAUAAAGGGAUGACCGGCUCUUGUUAUAAUCGGUACCAGUCACCCUCCCUACCGAAGGCAAAAACUUCCUCAUUAUAUGGAGUUGCACUGAGGGUAUUUUCGUAAAUUCUCAUCCUCAUAACAUACCAUUCUUGUAAAUGUAGAAUAUUUCAUCUUUUUCGAUUCUUAUCCUUCAAUAUUUCAUAUAUAAUUACUUUUCUUAAAUUAAAUUUUCUUUACUAAUGAAUCAUAUUCAAAUUCAAAAUAUAAAAUGAUGCAUUAUUGAAAGAAUUUAGCCUAUCCGUUAUUCUUGAGUCUAACUUGAACAAGAGCUUGAAAGGUUAGCCAGUUUUAAAUUUAUUUGUACAAUUUGAGUAUUAAAUAAAAAAUUAAAUUUGUCGCAAAUUUAAAUUUUUGUUGCAUCCAAAAUUAUAUUCAAAUAUAAAAUAUUGCAAAUAACAAGUUAUAUUAUGUAAUCUCUUAGUAAUAGAAUAUGAAAUAUUGUCCCUACGUCAAUGUUUAAAAAAUUUUGAAUUUGACCUUGUGAUCAAUAGUUUUAACUAAUUAAGUUCAUUACCUUAAUUAAAAUAAUUAAAACUUUUAUGAUCUUCAUAAGUUCCGGUAUAAAUUAUAUAUUUUCUUCUCAAAUCAUGAGAAACGUAACACUUUGGUAGACUAACUUUAGUAAAUUGUAAUUUCAAAUUAAAUCUUUUUGAUUAUUACAUCAAUUCUAAUGGUCCAAUUUAGAUAGCCGAAUUAUGAUUUGACGUUGAUGUGGUAGUGAUGUAGCAUUUUAGCCAUUCUCAUACCAUCAAUUAUAAGUUCAAUUUAGAUUCAAAUUUAAAAGUUUAAUAUAAAUUUCAAAAUUAAAAUUUUACAUUACAAUACCAAUUUCAAAAAUUAAAUUUAAAUUCAAUAUUUUUUUGAGCUGGAUACUUAACAAAUUGGGUAUCAUCUAAUUUGGUAAGUUAUUAAAGUAAUAAGAUAUUUAAUACUUAAAGGAUGCUGAUAAAUUUGGUAUAUGCUAAUUUUUUUUCCAAUAUUGUCAUGUUAACUUAUUCAAAUCGGUAACCUGUUCAACAGGUUACUUCAUGUAAAUCCCAAUUAUACCUUUUAAUAUUUAUGGUGUAUUGAAGCAUUCCUCUAAUAAUAAUAAUCUAUAAUCUAUAAUUUAUAAUCUUCUAUAACACUAAUGAAAGGAGAGCCUAAAGCGGCUCUCCCCGCGUUUUGUGGGGGCCGGUGGCCCCCACUUUUUUUUUUUUUUCCCUCUCUCUCACUCUCUUACUUUCUUUUUUUUCUUUUUUUUUUCUCUCAACACUCUCACUCUUCUCCCUCUCUCUCUUACUUUCUUUUUUUUAAAUUUUUUUUUCUUAACAUUUUUUUUAAAUUUUUGCCUACAUUAAGUAUAAAAUUUUAUCGUAUGUAUCAAUUCUAUUUUUUAAUAGUCAAUAUAACAAAUAAAUAUAAAAUUUUAUUGCAUAGAUCAAUACUAUUUUUUAAUAGUCAAGAUAACAAAUUCAUAUGGUUUUUGUCCUUAUUUUUUUUUAGUCCUUUCUAUAAUUUAUUCUUAUAUUUUUAUUGCAGCAGUAGUUACUUAUUCUUUAGUUGCUUCCUUUUUUAUAUAAUUUUUUGACUUUUUCUACUUUCUUUACUUUAUUUAUUUAUUUAUUUAUUUAUUUGAAAUCAUUCCGCCGCAACGUGCCGUCCUUCACUAGUAAUAUAUAANUUUUUUUUAGUCCUUCUUAUAAUUUAUUCUUAUAUUUUUAUUGCAACAAUAGUUACUUAUUCUUCAGUUGAUAUUUAUUUAUUUGAAAUCAUCCCGCCGCAACGUGCGGUCCUUCACUAGUAAUAUAUAAUGAUAAAGCAAGUUAUCUAUGAGAUUUUGUUGGUGAGUUUAGUAUCUUUGUGCAUUAGACCAAUGGAAGUAGGGGGGAGCACUAUUCAAAUCGAAUUUUCGAACCGAAUUAAUUUAGUUUGAUCAGAAAAUUCAACUGGACCAGUUUUUUGUUUUAAGCACUUCGAUUUGAUCUAAAAUUUUAAUUUUUAAUGUUCGAUCUGGAUAUCUAACUCGAAAUCCAAACCAGCUGAAUUAAAUUAUGUGCUAUAUUUUAAAAUAUUUUAAAAAGUAAAAUAAAAUUUGAAAAUUUUGGUUCGGUCCACUGCUCUACUAAAACCGAUCGAACCAACCAAAUGCUCUCAGCCUCGAUGGAAAUAGAAAGGCUGUUUUAGAAGAGCUUUGUCACGCCCCGGGGUCCCUUUUCGGUCUGGAAAGACAGCGGAAACGACUAAAAUUUUUUUUUUUUUUGAAACACCUGACCCCAGAGUAUGUCAGAUCCACCACAAUUACAGGGAAUCCACUGUUCACACGGACAGAGUUUCCCCUGUAUUUGCACGGCGUCGCACAAGUACAGAUACACAAUCAGAGUACAACCAGAAUACAACCACAACCAUAUGAACACACAAUCACAACUGCACAUGCAGACGUUCAUACAUUCACCAUUCACAACGCGACAGUAUUCCAAGUUUUAAACAUAAAUCCAGAACUAUCAUUUAAAAUGUUUCCCACACAAAAACUUUUAUCUUUUAAAACGCUACCACGAGGGGUAGAAAACCAUCGAAAACUGUAUUGAAUAUGAAAAUCCUUUUUCUUUUUAAAACAAGCGCUACCACGAGGGGUAGAAAACCAUUUUACUUGAAAAGCUCAUAAAUCUCUUUUUAUUACGAAAACCCAGCAGAAAACUGAAUAUUCAAGUACCGAAUGAAACUGAACCAAAAUGAAAGUUUACUAUUUAUUCAAGCAAGGAAAAAUAGAUAACCAAACGGGACGGAGCUCUAUCGCGCGCUAGACUCGCUCCUCACCUGCCGUCCCACUCGGACCUGCGACGUUACCUGUAAUGGGGGCGGGGGCUGAGAACAUGUAAACAUGUCUCCCCUCCCAGUGGGUACCGCAAGCCGACGAGGGCGAGGGUACGCACCAGCAAAGGAGGCUAAGCAACAGUAAAGGUAAACAACUACAGUAGCUACUAUGAUAUAAGAACAGAAAGUACAAGUAAGGAACUGAUGUACAAGUAAUGAACUACUGCUACUGUAUGUAUGCAUCAACUGGUAGAUAGUCCAAGGAUACCCAAUCUAAACCUGCCUUGUUGGUCCNGAGCGGUUGAAAACGAGCUAUUGGAAGGCUAUAUUCGGAGUCCGAUACGCGUCGAAAGUCCACUUUACUUGGCGGCCUCUCCGGAAAACCGGAGUUACUAUUCACUUAAGUCAGACUUCCGGGUCGCGUAACUUCUCCGUUUUAACUCGUUUUCUCCUGAAAUUUGACGGGUACACUUAUAAUUAUAUUACACACAAGAACAUCAUCAAACAAAAGGGUUUAAUCAAUAAAUCAAAAAUCUCAGUUAUUACAAGCUUUUUAAGAGAUUUUAGAGUUUUAGGUAUUAAGAACUAUCAAAUAUUAUUAAUUAGGUUAAAAGGAGUAGGGAAAAAAAUAUUUAGUAAUAUGCUUCUACGUACAUUUCUGGUGAGAUCGCAAAAAUCAUAUCGUAACUGGAUUAUUGCAAUUACGCAAUACAACAUUUUUUAUAAAUUUUUCAUCGCACUUUCUCAACUUAUGUCACGUAUUCUCUUCACGAAUCCAAAUGGAUCGUAAGGGUUCGUUUAGAAUUACGGUGCGGUAUAUCUACGGCUCUACAAUAUCUAUAUCCCACUUGGGAAUAAGCAUGGAAUCUAUACCUACAUAUGAAUUUUCAUUGCUAAAUCCAUAUGGAAGUGCCACCUUCAUUUGAGGGUGGUGGGACCUACUAUUAUUUUUAAUCUUUUUUAUUCUCUUUUAUUUUAGUAAAACUAUUUUCUCUCUCGCAACCCUUUUUCUCUCUCUCUCUCUCUUUUUUUUUUUUUACUUCCAUCUCUUUUUUUUUUAAUCUCUCGAACCAAUAAAGGUGUCUCUCCCUCUCAAUGUAUGAUUUUAGGUUUUUCUUUUUCUCUCCCCUUUUUUGUCGCUCGCCGCUCGGAGCCCUUUGGCCCUCACUCGCUGCUCCUCAUGUGUCCUUGACAAGAACGACUUGCGGUGCCGUCACCAGCUGUCCUAUUCUCAACAAUUAUGGAAUAUCUAUAUUCUUAUGUUUUUAUUUUUUUUUAUCAAUUAUCUACCUGUCGCAUCACGCAGGUUAUUUCAGUAGUAUAUCAAUAUAUUCUCUAUAAAUCUAAUCCCCUACUCUCUACGCAUUUAAUGCAAUCACUCUUAGAAAUAUUCUUAUUCCUUUUUUUUUUGUCUUUUGGAGGAAACAUCAGUAUGCUGCCGGCUUCGUUCCUCAGAAAAGAUGAAUUAGACUAAAAAAUUAAUAAUAAUAGGAUAAAAAACUAUCUCUCAAUUUAUUUUUUCUUAAUCCUUAGUCUAUGAUGCAUUCAGUGCACCUGAUUAUCAUGUUAAUUUAGUUAUUAGCUCUAAUUAAUCCCAAUUGUUCCAGAGAUUAAGCAUACCCUAAAAUGUGUAUUAGAAACCAUAUGGAUCCAAAUCAAUAACUAAAAUACAUAUCCUUAACUAUGUUACGCAAAAUAUCUAUCUCAUAGGAAACGUACUAGAAUUAGCUUUAAUACCUCUUUUAUUCUCAUUUCAGGCUCACGUGCAUGGUAGAUAUCAGGCAAAUGUCAUAUUAGGUUCACAUGCGUAUGGAUAUCACGUAAACUUUAACGGGAACCUCGUAUCACAUGCACUGAUACUAAAGGUGGUAGAUUAAUAUCAGAUCAACCUCAUAUCAAGUUCACAUGCAUGAUAAGUAUCAGAUGAACGACACCACAUGCACCAGCCAAAGAGGUAAUUAAUAGAAGAAACAAUGAAAUGCUAAUAAAUAAGAAUACGAAAAUCGAACUCACAAUCUCUUGGAACAUACAGAGCUUCAGAUUAUCUUAAAAAAUCAAUCUCAUACGAAACGUUUGAGAAUUAGUCAUAGUAAAUUAAUUAGGAGCAUAUCAUGCGCUUUGUGAUUCGAUCAGCCUAGUCUACUUGAAUAUAUAGGACUUUGCAACUUCCCGAUUCCCAAGUACUGCUACUGUAUAUAAGUUGAAAUUAUGAACAGACAUUAAGAAUAAAAUACCACAUAAAUGUAUCAACAUAUUAAUAAUUUGUGGAGAUAUUAUUUUGUGGGACACCAAAAGCAGUUCCCCAUGCAUGUUAAUUUUCAUUAUAUUUUUAUUACGAAGGAAAGCGAUAAAAUUGUAAAUCCCAAAUUGGAUGCAAAUCAAAAUAUUCUCGUCUGUAUAUAUUGUGAGGAAUUUUUUUAUUAAUCAGCUUAAACUUUUAGAUUGGCUCGACCCAUUUAACGUGGUAUCAAAAUUUUUAGAAUUUAUCAUAUUGCCGUAUCCAUACUUUGUAUCUGUAUCUGUAUAACAUAGCUAUCAAGUUAAGCGCAUCUGGAAUGGAUGUAAGCUUUUGGAGUAAACACUUAAUUGUCAAGGAUGGAAGGUUCGCUGGCUAAGCAGAUCGAUCCCAUGCAACAUGUUCCAUUAAUGGGAAAAAUAAAGAUUCUUCUAUUUUUCUCAUGAUCUCGUGUACUUACAUUAAGGAAAAGCCCUCUUUAUUGACUUUACACAUGAGAAGCCUACAAAAUUAGGAGGUGGAGGCAUGCAUGUGUAGGGUAUAAGAUGAAAGGAAUGCUAAGCUAGUUGGCUUCCUCUCUUCCACGCCUUUGAAUUUGGAGACAAAGCGUAGCUUCAUUUAGACUUUUUCAAGAGAAGAAUCAGUUAUUAUUUUUAUAUUGAAGUACGUUUACCCUCACUUUCAUGCAUAAGCUCACAACUUUGACUCUUCUUUUACCCUCUAUUUUCAACAAAGAACCUCUUGAUUUGGAUAGGAAUUAGAGCAUGGGGGAAGCUUCCAAUUUGAGGGCAAAAAGGUUUACUUUAGAGAAUAUUUGGUUGCAUUUUAUUGCUAUUCGAUCUAUCGUUUGGAUUGUUGCAUGAGCAUUAAUUAGAUUGCUUCAGUAGAUGGAAUUAUGUACAAAUUAACUCUAGUUCCAACUGCAUUAGCUGAAGAGAGUAAUUUUCAAUAAAAAGUAACUAAAAUUAUCUAUCUAAUAAACUUUAAAUGGAAAAUUUUUAGUUUUUCUUCUUCGUUGGAGAUAACUUCAAUCCUUAACUAUAUGCAUCUUUCAAUGUACUGCAUUUACAGUUACAUCUAACUAAAUAGGACCCCAGAUUACUUUGUUCAUUUUCAAGAUGAGCCUGAUCACAAAUAGAAUUCACGCAAGUGAUUCGAAACUCAAAAUCUUCUGUUCACAUACCAUGCCUCUAAAUUGCCAUAUACCUGUUCAGUUCUGUUUUUAUUUUUGUACUAAACAAUAGCGGAUUAUAUACUAGAUCUCAUGGAGCAUAUAGAGCGUUUGAGAAAUAACAUUCUAAGCUCGAAUAGCAAAAGAUUCAAAUUGGUGCUUCUGAUUCUACCGCAUAAAGGAUGUAUAAUUAUUAUUUCGAAAUUUUGAAUUGCGAAUUAAAGGUAGUGCAUGUUGUAGUCUCCUCAAUUUGCUCCUCUAAUGAGGGGGAAUCUUUGAAACUUUGUAACACUUUUGUCUUUCUAAAAAGAGACAUAACCAAGAUCUCCACUUUGCAAUUAAGGACUUGUUUGAAUGUGCGUAACUUGUGCAUGAACUCGUGCUGUUGACAAAAGUCUAAUCGAAAUGCGUGUUUUUAAUCCACAAAGAUGAAAGGUGGAAACUGCCCGGCAUGUCCUUUGUUAUAUAUGGAAUGUAAGAGAAGGCAUGGAAUUUUAGUGACGAUCUCGAUCGACUUUGUGCCAGAAGUUAUCUAUCAAAUAUAUAUAUAUAUAUAUAUAUAUAUACACUCAUGGAAAACUUCUUAUAUAUUGGAAUAUGCUAAACUCCAAGAUGGUAAAGAAGAAUUAAUUAAAUGCUGUAGUUGGAUUUUAUAUAUAUGCCAUCCUCUUUAUUCUUUAGUUCCUUUUUAAAUGAAAGGGGCAUUGAAGCUAACUGAUUAAUUAUCAUAUAUAAUUGAUCAAAAUGAUUUGUUCAAAGGCAACUGGGAAUAUCUUUCACAAGCUUUAUUUAUUUUUAGUUCUUUAUUUUGAGAAAUUUCAAGUACUAUAUAAAUAAUAUCAAAAUUUUAAAAAAAUUAAUUUUUAGGUGAUUAAUUAAAAUACUCUAUAUUAAGUACUGUAAUAUAUACGAUCGUGGAUCUAAAAGGUGCAUUAUCCAAAAAAAAAAAAAAAAUUAAAAGUACAAAAACUUUUAUACUUUAAAAGCACCAAAGUUGGACUUUAGAACUUGGAUUGAAUUGAACACCCUCUAAUACCAAUAUAAAUGAGAAACAUACAUAAAAACAAGAAUAUGCUAUACAACCACUACAACAGAAUUAGGUUAUAGGGACACAUGUUUGGAACAAUUUUGAGUAAGUGUCCAAUUUAUACUAAAACUUAAAAAAACAUCUACCAAUGCCUAAAUAUAAAGCUCAAUCCAACCAAAAAUAAAAGAUUACUCUACUCAACCCACCACACCCAGUCCAUUUGGCCCGAUUACAAACAGAAAAGAAAAAAAAAAUGAAAAAUCAAUUACCAUCUUUUCUUCUCUCUUCACUCAAUCCACUGAAAUUCUAGACGAAGAGUCUUUCCUGUCGUCCUCCUCCGCUACCGCAGCCAACGAGAUAGAGUUUCGGCGGUUGCUAAAUGCUUAAAUAAGUGUUGGUAAAUUAGCAGCACUCUUUUAGAUUAUAACGACACUCUUUAACUAUCACUAUAUACCUAGCGACCCCACAUAUAGCAACACUUUUUAAAAAUGUCGGUAAUUUUAGCUAGCAGCACUUUUUUAACAUGUACCUAUAUUUAAAAGUGUCGCUAUAGACCGUUUUUGUUGUAGUGAACGAUGUGAUAAAUAGAGAUUUAAUACAUUAACCAUAUCGUGACAAAUUGUUUUUGAUUUGCUAGUACAGAAAAUAAUACGUUUUAUAGGUUAUACACUACGCACGUCGUUACCUAUAUUAAUUUAGUAGAAAAUUACUUAAUAGAUGGUCUUGAUCAUAUUAUCUGCAAUUAGCAUGCUAUAGAGAGACCACUUAACUAUGAGAUAUUCUGAGUUAAAUUGAUCACCCGGCCCCUCAAAUUUUUUUCCUUUUUUAAUCUAGCUAAGUUAUAUAUGUUACUACUUGAAUUAUAAUUUUGUUAAAUACAAUAUAACUCUGUUUUAUUUUGCUCUCCUGAUCACUUUUCAGAGAAUGGAAUUACAGAUUCUGUUAAACUGUUAGUAGCUGAUAAGUUAACUAAGCCACUAAUAAUUUAGUGAAUCCCCAAACUAGUUAAUUGUGUAAUUUAGUGAAUCCCCAAACUAAUGUACCGACCGUCCCUAGAGCAAGUGCUAAAGAGCUUGGUGGUUGGUAUCUGAGACCCAAGUUCGAAUCCUAGUUGAUUCACAUUUCUAGCUAAGUUUAUUUUUAAAUGAAAUAAACGAAGCGGAUAGCGUGCUACCUAUCUCUCAAAAAAAAAAAAAAAGUAAAAAAAAAAUGUGGGGAAUCUAGUUUAAAAUGGCAAAUAGUGAGGGGGUCUUCAUAUAAUUUUUACUAAGUAUUUAUGUGGGCUAAAUUGCACCUUUUGGUUCUCAAACCACUGCAACAGAAUUAGGUUAUAGGGACACAUAUUUGGGACACUUUUGAGUAAGUGUCCCAUUUAUGCUAAAACUUCAAAACACAUCUACUAAUGCCUAAAUAUAAAGCUCAAUCCAAUCAAAAAUAAAAGAUUACUCUACUCAACCCACCACAUCCAGUCCAUUUGGCUCGAUUACAAACAGAAAAGAAAAAAAAAAAAAUCAAUUACCAUCUUUUUUUCUCUCUUCACUCAAUCCAUUGAAAUUCUAGACGAAGAGCCUUUACUGUCGUCCUCCUCCGCCACCGCAACCAACGAGAUAGAGUUUCGACGAUUGCUAAAUGCUUAAAUAAGUGUUGGUAAAUUAGCAGCACUCUUUUAGGUUAUAGCGACACUCUUUAACUGUCACUAUAUACCUAGCGACCCCAUAUAUAGCAACACUUUUUAAAAGUGUCGGUAAUUUUAGCUAGCAACACUUUUUUGACAUGUACCUAUAUUUAAAAGUGUCGCUAUAUACUGUUUUUGUUGUAGUGAACUAUGAGACACACCACACAUGGCAUUGGUUUUCAACUUUAAUUUAUUA
This 74439-nucleotide long non-coding RNA is filed under the name Ananas comosus (pineapple). Its description in RNAcentral is "long non-coding RNA (ACOM_LNC001198)". Lineage: Eukaryota; Viridiplantae; Streptophyta; Magnoliopsida; Poales; Bromeliaceae. The record is from RNAcentral.